Molecule: long non-coding RNA, 45648 nt
Filed under: Xyrichtys novacula (pearly razorfish)
Lineage: Eukaryota; Metazoa; Chordata; Actinopteri; Labriformes; Labridae
Source: RNAcentral
GUGAGUUUCUCUUUCAGUUUCUUUUUCAGUUCAUAACAUCGACUCAUCUUCCCCUGCACUCUUCAGUGAUUCUUGUCUGAAUGACUUCUUCUUCGUCUUUAUGUUUUUCCUUGUGGAUAUCUGGUCGUCCAUUUGUUCCAAAGUAAGUUUCACUCUUUUAAACUUUUUGUCGGUACAUUUUUUGUCUGAAUUUUUAAGUCCUUUUGUCUUGAAGUGUUUAAUACUUGUGAGCAGAUGAAGUUUUAUGAAGCUCUUGGGCUUCUUUUCAAUUUGUGCUGAAAAAACUCAAAACUUUAAAGUUUCACAUUCAGUGAAAACAGUGACAUCUGGCAGCUUGUAAAACCAAUGACAGCCCUCCAAAUGAUGAUCAGGAGCGUCAGUACACCUCUGGACGCAGUUUUAAUACAUUCAAGAAAUAAAAUAGGUGUUGUUAAUUAAAACUAUUCGCAUAACCUCUUCUAAUAUUAUAAUUUAUCCAUGUUAUAGGGGCCUUUUAGGGAGGUUUGUUGCAAGUAAUCUAUCCGUUAUCACGAAUUUAAGUUAAAUGUUUCGUAGUCGAACGACUGAUAAGAUUUUGAAGGUUUGGAAACAUUUGAAGCUUUGAUUUAUCGCCAGUCACGUGAUGUUUCAUCUUCGACACAAGCUUUAACACUUAAGAGUGAAAUUGAGGAUUAUUACAGACUUCAAAGCAAAACUGUUAGCAAAGCCGUGUGAUAAACCAAAAAUACAGUCGGCAAAUAUUAACAUCUGGAAUACUUUAUAUUUUUUCUUCUAAUAAGCGUUUUGCACAUACCAGCCAUUCUCUCUUUACACGUUUACGAACUUCCGACACUUUAUGUCAGUCCCAGCUGCACUUUGUGUUUGUGGCUCAUUUGGAAAUAAUUUACAAGUACUUAAGCUAACAUGUUAAACACAUGGUACAGAUUACUUCUCAAAUAUCAACAGGUUGGUUUGGCAUCAUAAGCAUGUUUUUGUAACAUACCAGAGCAGCUGUGAUCCGAACCAUACGUACAGUAAUAGGGGUAAUAAGAGGCCGUGUUACCCCCUUUAGUGAAGGCUUGUUUAUGUCCUCGUCACAGUGUCGAUCUGGGGCCUUGAGAUCAAGGAUAUGAAGGGUAAACGGGGGAGGGGGUCUUGUUUUAUCACUAGUCUUAGAUCCUUUUCCACUUAAACCAGAUCAUUUCUCACACACCCUAAUUGCCCUCUGAAUUAUUAACCCAAACACAGAUACAACGAGGGUCGUCCUGUCUGAUCUGCCUGAAGGUCUCCGAUAGUCCUUGAGCGCCGUGAGCAGACAUAUACAUUUUUUAUCAUCUGCUGAGAGGCUUUUUGUCCCAUCACACGAAUUACACCCUUGUUCUGCGUUCUUGGAUGGCGUACACUUGAACCAAGUCCAGAGUAAAUUCAUGAAAUGACUCUGUAGAUAUAAUUAGAACGUAUACUCACAGGCUUGGCCGAUGUUCUUUGUGCAAAUCUGUUUUCUUCGUGGCUUCCGUCCAACACUGCGGCGGGGUAACGAGAACUCUCAUGUAUAUUUUUCCCUCCCUUAAAGUUUUCACAGUCCCCGUUUGGCCUCUUUCAAGGAAACAAAUAAUGACUAACAAGUUGACUGAACUGUGGAUGCUGAGAGUUUUAGAUGCUCUUAUCUCAGAUAACAUCCGCUGUGUUCAAUAAUUCAACAUCCUUCGAAUUAAUAAUGCAUAUUGUGCUGUCUAACUGAAUGACAAUGUAAAUGUUACACUAUGUCUGCAUUUAAAUGACUUAUUCAGUAUGAAGACAUCAGCAAAGAGAGAUUACUCUGCAUAGAGAAAAUGAGCUAAUUGGUUGUUUUAUACUCUUUGAUAUUAGUGGUGAACUUUUCCUCUUGUUCCAGGGAGCUGUACAUCAGUUAAAUCCACCGCUGUAACCUUUAAAGAUUUGGAAGGAUGUGUUUCACCUCCUGACACUCGUUUUGCUUUUUCAGCUUAGAUCCUGUUACCCAGAGUGUUCAGUUUAGCCAGCGUUUGUUUCUCCCAUCUGGAAACAGGCCAGUUAGGAUGUCAUUUUAUAAAUGGGCCGCUGCUGUGAUAAAUGUUCUCCUGUCUUAGGAUCAGGACCCUGACACUAAAAUUCUGUGGGAUAAGGCCAGACAGAGAACCUCAAAAAAACCUGAAGUAACAGGAAAGAAACUGAAAGUCUGUGAAGUUUAAUUCUUGUAUAAAAGUUACUUUUACAGAGUUCAUUUAUAAAUUCUGUGACCAGGGAGCAGGUCGCCAAAUAUACCAGAUAUUACGCAGGGCUUCACACUAACUUUUUGCACAAGGAGCACAUGUGCCCCUAAGUUGAAAAAGUAAGGAGCACACAAAGAACUUUAGAGGCACAAUAAAAAUUGAUUAAAUAAUGUGUGUCUUACUGGUCAACAUAAGUUCUACUAUUUGAACUCAAUUUCAGGUCUUUUGGUCACAUGACAUGGAAGCUAUUGAAGAAAAUGUUCAAAAUUUGCCUUUAAGUUUAACGCAAACAUUUUUAGAGGACAAAUUAGGGAAAUAAAGAUGUAUGUCUUAUCGUCCAACCUUAGUACUAUUAUUUGAAAUCAAUUUUAGGCCAAUUGGUCACAUGACAUGAAAGCUAUUGAAGGAAAACAGCCUUUUCUGAGAACAUCAACCGGUAAUUUAUUGACGGUCCCUUAUUCAACACCCGACAUUGACAGCGAGGGUGUCGAGUAGAUUUAACCGCACUGCUGUUGUUAUUCCCGUUUAUGGAGAGUGAGAAGACACCGGUAGAUCCGCCGUGAAUGUCCGUCGGAUAUCCAACCUAAAACUAACUGCUAAUUUUUUUUAUGUGCACAUGUGCCCCUAAAUACAUUUUACAAUUUGCACACAUCUAUUUUUAGUCGCAAAUGACAUGGUCGCAUUGUCGAGCCCUGUUAUGGUCAUAGUAUUACUAAUCAGUCAGAUUUUACUUUGUAGGUCUUGGUAAGAGGAUGAGACUACUUUGAAAUCAAUCAAAAACUCAUCUCAGUGAAUUUAUGCUUCAAAUACAUUGAAAAGACUCAGUGACAGUGGUAUUGAUGCUAUGCUAGCUGCUGGUUUGAGAUUGUUUUUUUUUUUUUUAUCUCCUCCACAAAAAAGGAAACAACAAAUGUUUUUGCCCAAUUAUUCCUGUUCAAACUCCUUUAUUUUAAAAACUUGUUAGCAUGUGCCCUCUCUGCCCUCUUUGUUUCUGACUCUGACUUGGUUGAACUUUGUUUUGGUUUUGCUUCAAAUAAAGGAAACUGUGAGCGUGUGAGGAGGGCCGAAGGGCAAACAGAGUUAUUUCACUUCUGCUCGCUGUUUGAUCUCCAGCUGCACAGCAGCGACAAUAACCGGGGAAUCCACUUCUUUCUGCUGCAGCCGCUCUACAUUAUUAGCCCUAUUAAAUGAGAUUAAUAAAUAACAAGAGGGUGUAAAACCAUAAUUUUGUGGAAACAUUUUAAUGAGGAGAACAAAUUAAGUAAUUUGGGGCUAUGAAUAUUUAAUUUAAAAAAAGAAAUUACUCAUAAAUUCCCACAACUGCUGGCUUUUAGAUAUUUAAUGCACUUUUAAUACAUUGAAAAGGGGGAUACAAAGCUCAGGCUUUAUUAACUUUCAACAGCUUUAUUAUUAGGUGCCUUAAUAUAACAUCACGUUUUCUUAACUGCUUUCUUUUUCUGUUUUUUUUAAACGUUCUUUGUUUCUCUCACCACUCUAAGGUACUAAAUUAAUCCCUUAAGUUCAUUUAUUUGUUGUAUUGUCUGAUAUACAGGGGUGCAGUAAAAGGUAUAAAACUUAGCAGAACAUACAGUAUAUAAAGCUUCAAAUAAUGACUUAAGAGCUUUCCUAAUGGUUUCUUUAUUGUUAUUGCUGUUAUUGUUGUCGUUUAAGUAUCUCCGUACUUCUCAUCCAUGUUUAUGUUACUGCAGUCAAUAAAAAGUAUUUAUUCUGCAAGGAAGGUAAGAAAGACAGAGUCUCAGGCAGCGUUAGUCAGACAGCAGCAGUUUCGAAUAAUACACACUUAAAUGAUUGAAAACGCACAAAAUACGUAAGACAACGCAAGACAGAGAUGCCCAUUACACAUUCACAUUCAAAUCACGUUAUUAUGCAGAACAGCAACAUGUUUCCUUCAGGGCAGUUUUCAAAAGACCUUUUAAAGGAUCAAAAAACAGCCGCUGAUUUUGUGCCUGGUUUACUUCAGAACAAAGCCUCUGUCUGAGUUUGUGCUUCACCGCCGUGUGUCUUUACCUUCCUCUCCUUUGUUGUACUUCACACGCUGGCCUCAUCUGGGCCAUUGUUUCAUCAGGGGGUUUGACUAACUUUGUUAUUUUCAGCUGACUCCGCGUUCUGUAGGUCAGCUGCAUCUGCUAAGCCCCAUUCUGGAGCCCUCAGCUCCCCAGUGUCCCCUGCAGCCAAACAGCCACACUAGCCAGCGGGCCCAUAUAACUCCCAACUGCUGACAACUCACGGAGACAUCUUUGUAAUUUAAGACGUAAUUCCCUUUUCCUAGGAGCUGUAUAAAAUCUAUAUUGCGACCAUAAACAAUCCGAGCUUUCCUGUGAGCCUCCCCUUCCUGCGUUUUAUGUAUGCAGAGAGAUAUUAUUGGAGAUGUGCACUGGCAAGCACUUCUGUUUUCUGAAAGGCCAAGCAGCACUAAAGUGGAACCAAGCCAAGUCCCUGGUCAUCCUGAUGGAGCUAAGAUUUGGCCUUAUUUAUAAGUCAACCUCCCUUUGGCCAGAAAUGUGGUUCUUGUUCAGUUAUUAAGGUGUGCUCUAAAUGUGAGGUAACGAUCUUAUAUAAUACGAUACAAUAGGAUACAGUAGUGUACAGAUGAUGGGUACUAUUAGAACACAAUAUGAUAUAAUUUGAUACAGUGCAAUACAAAACUAUAUGAGUCUACAGAAUAGGAUACAUUUGGAUAUGUUACAAUAAAAUAUGAAACAGUAUGUUACAUUACGAAAUAGGAUAUACUAUUAGAUACUUUAUUUAUGAUAAAAGGAUAUAUGAAAUUUUGAUUUAUGAUAUGAAAUACAAUAUGAUAUGAGAUAAAGUAUAUGAUAAGAUAUCAUCUUAUAUAUGAUACAAUGUUGCGAUAUGUGACACGAUCAAUGAUACGAAAUUUGGUAUAUCACUUUAGAUACAAUAUUUGAGAUAAGAUCAAUGUGAUACAGUAUGAUAUGAGACACAAUAGGAAAUUAAAUAUGAUAAAAUAGAAGAUACGUUUUGAGAUACAAUAUAUAAUACGUGAUACAAUUAUGACACAGAAUGAUUUUAAUUUCAAUUUGAUAUGAGAUUCAGUAUGAUACGAGAUAUGAUUAUGAGAUACAUUAUAUGAAAUAUGAUACAUGAGAUACAGUAUAUGAUAAAUGAUAUGAGAUACAAUAAACAGUAUGUGAUACAAAAUGACAGAAUGAUAUUAAAUUCAAUUUGAUAUGAAAUUCAAUAUGAUAUGAGAUAUGAUUCUUGAGAUACAUUAUGAGAUAAGUCACAAUACGAGAUAUGAUUUAUAAGAUAUCCUAUGGCAUAAGAUAAUGAUGGAAUACAACAUAAUAUGAUACAUUAUGAGAUAUGAUAAACAGAUAAGAGACAUAAUGUAAUAUUCUAUAGGCUACGAUUUGAUACAAUAUGGCAUUUUAUCAGAAAAUGUAUCUUUGAUGAGAGUACUGCUCAUGCUCUCUCUCUAGCAGGGAUAAACUAAAAAACUUAAUCAACAACAUCAACAACAAUCCAUAAGCGAUUUUAAAGACAUGUACUUCAAGGAAAUAACAAAUAACAUCUAUUUCCCAUUACUCAUGUAUUGCAAGAUCUGCACAAAACAGCAUAAAUGAAGAGAAAGACAAGAAGAUAAGAACCUUACACUAUUGCACAAGCUGAACAGUCUCAAGACAGAUUUCUGAAUUUGAUCAAGCUAAGCAAAAGGUAGUGAAUUAAAAAAAGAGAUCAUUCAUAUAUAUGAGAAUUUGUUCAGAGCACAAGAACUUUAACACUUUCCAGAAAUUCUCACAGGAAAUCCAAACCCAGUUCUGUCAGAGUUCAUUACAUCUUCCAGGACAGCAUAAAGCUACAUAAAGUUCAUCUUCCUCUCCAGGAACUGUCAGGAUUAGGUUUACUGCAGCUUCCAGCUACUCAAGGUUGACUGGUGCCCAGUCUGAUGACCUGUUAGCUCUGUCAGUCCAGGAUUUCUUGAAGUGACAACCUCUGUAGGCUUUCCAUUUCAGCUGCAGGGCCCCUGUUCAUCAGUCUUCUGUCAGGGGCUGAUGUACUCUACCAAGCAAGUGUGAUAACAGUCAACCAUCAGGGGAGAUACUUAAGAACUACAUCAUGACGCAGAUUUGUGUUUGAUUUCAUGUGUUGUCAGGUUUGUGUUUAAUACAGGCAGAACAUUACUGGACUGUUGAGCAGUGUAAAGAUCAAACACUUCUGAUGCAACACGAGAGUAUUAGAAACAACUCGAGUCUACGAUUGAUCAGCUUGAACCAAACAGGGUUGUACAAAACAAAUUUUUUGUAGCACUUAAAGAAUGGAAUGUAACAUAAUUGAUUAAAAAAUGGAAUGAAAUACAAAAAAAUUGUAUGAAAUGAAAUUGUUGGUAACACUUUACAAUAACCAUAACUUACAAAUGGUAAAUAGACCAUUUAUAAAUUUUAAGCAGAUAGUCAAAUCAUCAUUUAUAAAUAGCAUAUAGAUCAUUUAUAAAUUGUAAAUUGUAAAUUUUAAAAACCCUAACCCAAACUCUAACCCUAACUUUACAAUAACCAUCUCAGUAAUGUUUAUAGAUAGAAAUAUUAACAAUAUAUUUAUAGACCAAAUAUUUACAAUUUACAAUGCGCUACUGACACACAUUUUAAUCUAGAUGUUUUACAACCAAUAUUUAAACCCUAUAUAAACCUUUAAUAAAUAGUCCAUUAAUAAUUAAUAAAAAUUAUUACCAAGUGCGGGAAAAAGCAAAAUCGGAGGCGGAAACAAGAUGGCUACAUCUGCGAAAGUUAUUUUAGCACUUGCCUUGUCCGAAUAUAACAAGGACAAGACAAGCGCUAAAAUAAAAAAUUUAACUAAAAUGAGAACUUGCAUAAAAGUGAGUUUAGUAGAACUGAGUAGAAUGAUAUUUUAUUGAAUGGAAUUGUAUGGAAUAGAAUGUAUGUUGCACUGUUUACAGUUAUAUGGUGCAUGAUAAAAUUAUAUGAUGAAUGGGAGAUUGCACAGUUAAACCAUGUGUAUUGAACAGUUGAAUAUGUAUUAAUGCACAAGGAAAAUUAUAUCAUACAGCACUUUAUGUGAUGGAUAUGCAGAGAAAAACUAACUGAGUGGAUAACUUAAAUUUUACUAUAAUAAUUGUGAAUUAGAAAAAAAACUACAUUGCACCAAAAAAAUCUAGUUGUGUGUUUCAGACUUUUGUUUUAGAACUCUGCGUGACCCUCAUGUUGUGAUGAAAUUAAGGCUGUAUCCUCUUAACCGAGGAUAUUUGGGUUCUGAAUGAUACUGAGCAGUUAAGUUCACUGUCGUCUCUAUUCCACCAGCUCAUUGUCUUAUUGUUGAUACAUUUCAGUCUUCCUUCUUUUCUGUGUUCAUCCAUUUAGAGCUCUGGAUGCUGUUUUGUGACACACCAGUAAAAUAAUCAUCAUCAUUAUAUUUUCUGGUUAUUUAUCACUUCCCUGACAGAAUGUCAAAAGCACUGAGUUUCAGUUUUGUAUUGUUCUGCAGAAAGGCUAAUUAUGCAUGUCUAAGUCUCCAGCUAGCGUAACCAUUUGUGCUUAUGAGGCAGCUCAUUGUGGCAGCUCCAUGUGUCUGCUGCUGCACAGGCUCCAGGCAUUAUUCCACUUCAGCCUGACACCAGUGUCUCCUCCAAUUCCAUCUCAUUGCAUUAGUCAUUAAGCCGGGCACCGACACCACCCAUCAUAUCAUUGCCUUAAUCACAUCUGAGCUCCACUGUGUACAUAUGACCAUAUCAUUAACACACACUCCCGUCUCCUCUCCCCCUCCCUCCGUCCCCUCUUUGCCCCUCCGUCCUGCUCUCGCUUUAUUUUCCGCCACCAGAUUUGACCUGCAGAUUCAUCCGUCACUCCUGCUUGUCCGUUAUCUGCGCGGUGACAAAUGACAUUCACUUCACAAUGAUUCAUUUAGUGAUUAUUUCAGCACCUCAUAUGCAAAAUUAUUCAUCCUCAGGGCGGAUAGUUGGGGUGGUGAGGGUAACUAACGGUGAUAGAGUGCAGUGUGGGAUCCCGACCUCAUGCAAAAUGAAAAAAAUCUCACCGUACUUUUGCCAUUAGACAUCCAGCCGAGCAGAGAGAUGUGGUAUUGGUUGGAUUUUUCUAUCUCCUGUUUCCUGAGGUAAUGAUGAGGGAAGUCUGGCCAGUCAAACUGAUUAUAGAAGACCAUGUGUGUGUGACUCCACGUGCGUGUGUGUGUGUCUGUGUCUAUGUGUGCAGGUAAUGGUCUGUCUGAACUUUGCUGAGGUGGUGAUUACAGACACCCUGUCACCUGGCUAAUAGACAACUCUGAUAGGUGAGGCCGGGUCCAAUCUGCAGUGAUGGAUUCUGCAACACACAAGAACACAUACUGGUGCUUUCAGCCACAUGUACAACCAGGAAAAAGAUGUUUUGAGGAAGUUCAGUGAUUUAAAACUCUUAAAAACAAAAAUAUUUAUUGCAAACAUUAGGAAUCAGGUGAGGUUUUAAAACCUGGAAAGCAAUAACUUCGCAGUGGAGCUGAGACUUAUCAGUCGAUCUUUAGGACAUUGUGUUUUUUCUGCACCACCUCAACUGUGGACAAUUACCCAACAUCAUUUCUAGAAACUGGACUUUUCGUUCUUCAUUAUCUCUGAGGUUUUAGGUCAUGAACUUGAGAGUAUAACCUCCAAAAAGUGUUUCUGUCAAGGAUAAUGUAUAGCGAGCAGGUGGUUAUGCAGGAUAGAAUCAAGUAUUAGCACAGCCAAGUUAAAUCGAGAGCAAGCUGCUUUAUUAUUAUGAAUAUUUUGAGUAAUGCUGACUGAAAAUACAUUUUAGUUGCUGUAUUUCAAAAGGAAGAGCCUCAAAUACGUAAGAAAGAAGCUGUUGUGGCUGUAAACUUUUCCACUUUUGUUUCUAUGAGUUUAAAAGAGAGCCUUGAAACCUUUUAUUAAUGCCGCCUUUGGUGUCUUUACAGCACUCAGCGGGCUUUACAACACUUCAGGCGAUCCAUACUGUUUAUUUCACUGCUUCCACUGACUGAGGGAUUGCACCAUGUGAAUUGACAGAGCUAAUUCAGUAGAGACAGUGCUUUUUUUACACGGCUCACUGAAAUUUACUGUCUUAUUUUCCUCCCGUGCUCCCGACACCCGCAGCAGCAGCAGCAUCGCCCUCUGUGCACACGUAGUAUAUCUAACUAUUUUUAGAAAGCUGCAGACUGAGACGUUUCUGGACAUGAAUGCAUAAAACGACUUCCAUCUGCUGGAUGGCUGCAGAUAUUUACAAUUGGCAACCUCAUAAAAGUGACAGGAGGGCAAAGUGUGGUUUUAUUUGGUCGUCACCUCGUAAUGUAUUCAUAGUUGAGCGUCACAGCGCUGCUCAUAUUCCUGUAUUAACAUAUGUUGGCUGUAUUGUGACGCUAUGCCAAAUAGGGAGCUGCGUUCCCGUUUCCUCUUAUUUAUAUAUAUAUACUGCUUACUUCAAAAUUUCUUGUAUGUCUUUAUUUUAAGGCACAUCAUGAGAAACCACAUCAUGGCUGAAUCUGUUUUUCAGUAUAUGGGUUUUGUUUGAUGGAUUAAAUGCGCAGAGAGCGUGGCGUUUUAUCACUCGGUGCAGCCGAGGUCAUUGCAUUAAAGUCCUCUCCCGCCUGCACACCUCUCUCUCAUUGUAAUGUGUUCUGUUGUAAGAGACUUUGAGAUAAGCAAGAAAGUUACCGACUACUCUGUGAACCGUCACUUUGGCUUUUAAUGGCAGUGCAUCUUGUGGACGAGGAGGAAAGAGAAUCAGAUCAUGGUAGAAGGAAAACCUUUCUCUGUCCAGGAUUUACAUUAAAAACCAUUUAAAACCCAAUCCACAAUAGCCUGCUAACAUUAUUAUACUGGUUCCAUAAGUACUGGUAUUGGACGUGGUUACGCUUGCAUCAAGUUUGUUAUCUUGUCACAGAAGUGGAUUUUUCAUUCACCUUUAUUGGCUCAGGAGUUUAAUGUCAUAAUGAUGCAGCAGUCAGGUAAGCCUGGUUUGUACUGCUGGGUUAUGCUGGACUGCAAUACUUCCCCUUAACACUAGUUGGCAGUGUGGUUUCUACGCAACUCAUAUUGCUACUACUAGUUCUGCCACAUUCUCAGCAGGAAACCAUGGCAACUGAUUCCGAGCAUUUGGGAUUUUGAAGCUGAUAAAUUUAGAGUAACAGUUGAUCACAUUACAAAUUCUGAAAAGGAAAAGAGGGGCAGAGAGGAGGUGAAAUAUACAACUGUAACCCAAAUUUAACAUCCCUGGAGAACACUUUUACACUUUUCUCCAGGUCCAGCUUUGUUAACUUCCCCCAGACCUCAUUAUGUACAAUGAUUGGACUUACCUUUUAGUUUUCAUCACAUUUGAGUUAUGCUUGCCUGUUAAAGGGAUAUUCCGACGUAAAAUUAAUUUAGGGUCAAACACACUGUAACACCGAGUUAGACACCCCCUCUAGAGAUGAAUGUUGCAGACCACUUGCUUCUCUAGUUAUACCAACUUUAGCAAUGACCACACGAUAGCAAUACACAGUUAAAUUAAUUUUAUGCUGGAAUAUCCCUUUAAGGUUCUAGUCUAGGGGGUCCGGGCUCAGUCCUUCAUGUUCUUAAGUCCUAGAUGUGCCCCCGGUCAUGCACACUGGGCAUACACUGCUCUCUCAGCUGCAUCUUUAUCUUUAAUGAUUUAUUGAGACGACAAAAAGUUACACUGAAUUUGCUUUCUGUCGUAUUUCCAAAAACCUUUUCCCAACAUCAUUUUGAUGCUCAAUAAGACUCUCAAAUUGGAGAAAAUAUGCAUUUUUCUGUUUAUCAACAGGCCAGACUACAGGGGUGCCAAAGUCAGUCUUAACGGUGUAGGUCAGCAUAUGGAGCACAAUGUGCUGCACAGUCCUAUAUGGUAUCUAUGACAACAUGAAUCUUGGCACUUCCUCAGGCUGUGCUAGAUUAACCCUAUCUGUAAUAUGUCCCAUUUUCAGACCUGACUGAUGAUUGUCACACCCCUGGUCCUCUGGAGACCCAGCAGUCUGCUGCGAUCAGAGCUUUAUGUGGAAUUAACGCAGCUGGAGUUGAUGGCAAAUGACAGCUGCCGCGUCCCACCAGGGACCCACCUUAGCAGGAUAAAGGUAUUUCUGCACGCGCUCACUUCAGACCCUGUAAUGAGCUUUUUCCUGGCCACUCGGUUCCUCAGAGAGAUAGGAGAUCUCCUGUUAGCUCUGCACAGCACCCUGACAAGAUAUUACCGCAGAAUCAAAUAUAAUUACAGGAACAUGUCAGCACCAUCUGCAGCCGGGCACUGUGGCUGUAAUAAGGCUGCAGCUAAUGACUAUUUUCAACAUCGAUUACUCUGAUAGUCAUUACAAGUUUUGGGACGUGCAAAAGUGGACACAAGACGCCUGGUGGCAUUUUACUGUUUUCAGCUUUUUCCCCCAUUCUCACUGGAUGACUGCAGGUAAUGGUCCUUUUCAAAUGAGGAGUUAACUCGAUAAAAUUAAAGAGUUCAGUGAAAAAAAAGUGAUCAACAACUUUGUUUGUGGCCAGUCUUGUCUUUAAAUUUAACGAAGGCUGGAAUAAAAAAAUCUGAUUAUCCGAUUUAAACUAAUUUUCAUCGAAAUGAGAAUGUAGCAACUCAUGACAUCUGGAGAUCAGUUUUAUUGCAUAUGCUCUGCUCUUGUUGGUGGUCUUUACACUGUGAGAUCUGGACAAAAAAACACACAUCUACAAUCUGAGACAAACCCCACAAAGGUCAGGGUUCACACUCAGCUCUACAACAUAACUGGAGCUGUUGUAGCUCCGUUGAUGUCAAAACCUCAUUAUUAUUCCUGAACCAUGCACUGCGUUACUGACAUGCAUGGACAGAUCCUCAUGACCGUAAGCCCCAGGCACAAACUCACUAUGGACCCCUGAAUACACAUGCAUACUGUAUAUGUUCUCACAGUACAGCUGCUUGAUAAAUAUAUCAUGAAUAUCUGACAUGUGAGCAACACGGUGAAUAUAGAAAUGUAUGUGCAGAAAUGAAAGUCCUGCACAGUAUCUACUCAGUGUUUUGUACAAAAGAGGAUUAGGGCUACAUGUAAAGAAAAGAAAAAAAUUACAGGAACAAGAUCAACGUCGAAAUUUUGAGAUUAAAGUCAAAAUUUUUAAAGUUGAAAUGAAAUGCCGUAGACUGUGGCUUAAAUUUGUCAUAGACAUCCACGUGUCAGAGCGCUUUUGGUCCUUGGCUUCAGUUAUACCUGUAGGAUGGUAGGCGAAGGUCCCGCCCUCCUUUGCCUCUGAUUGGCUAGAAGUGCUACGUCAUCCUCUGUCAGGUGAGGGUUAGGGUUAGGCUAAGGGUUAGAGUUAGGGUUAGGGUUAGGAGAAUCAGAAGUGCAAUAAUGUUCUGUAAUGUUCUGUUCGAGCAUGUGAUGACGUUUCCAGCUUUUCUAGCCAAUCAGAGGUGAAGGAGGCGGGACUUUCCCUACCUUCCUACAAAGAAAAAGUAUCACCACCUGCGCCUCAGACGCCGGGCUCAUCGUGCUCGUAUGCUCCACUUCUUCAGGAUCAAUCAACUUGAUCAGUUGUCUAAUUGUAUCUUGUGAUACAACAAAGCCUCACUGUAUAGCACGCAGGUGUAACCAUCGAUAACCCUGCAUCUGCAUCAUAAACUUUGGCACAGUCUUCUCAGAGUCUGAAUACUUAUUACCACACUGUGUUUGUGUGCUAAAUAAGCAAGGAUUUCCUUGUUACUAAAUCCACUUCUCAAGUCCAGCUUUACAAACUCUCCUACAGAGGACAUGUUGUCGAGUGACAAUCCUGUUGAUUCAUUAUCAUUAAUCUUAACAUUACGACUUUAUUCAUGAACUUUCGUCUUUAUCUGUGUUGACUCCAAUCUCGUAAUUUCGCCUGUAAUCUCAAAAUUUUGAUUCAAUUCACGAAAUUUCAACUUAAUUCAUGUUGACUUUAAUCUUGAUAUAUUAACUUUAAUCUCGUUCCUGUAAGUAUUUUUUUUUCUCUUCAUGUGGCCCCAAACCUUCUUUCGUAGUUUUGUGUGUUUAGAGAACAUAAUCAAGAAAAGUUCACUUUAGAAGCUGCAGAAGAAAUAUUACAUUUAUCAAAGUUAAACUUUUCCACUUCCAUUAACUUUAUUGCACCUGCAGUUUCAGAAUAAAGACAUCAACUCCCAUAAUGCAGCUCUACUUCAUUACAUCACUGGAAUAAGUCUCGCAUUUAUAGUCGAGCCAAGAGACUUCACAUGCAGACUUCACGUGCUGUCCCCUUAAAGACAAAAAGUGAGAUUUAGAUUGAGGAGAGAUUUAUUCACCUCGGAGCAGAAAAACUUUUCCACUUGAAUAAGUUUUCAAAAUAUCUAAUGAAACGUCUUUUAUGUUAUAUCAUCGUCUUAGGAGGAUAAAAGGAGCUUUUAACACCUGUAACUGCGGCUCUAAAGCUCUUGAUUCCUUCUUUGCUGAAUUCAAACACUCUCUGCCGGUGUAGCUUUUAGAGCUCGGUUCAAAGACUGAAAUGUAUGAUUAGCAUAAUAUAUCUUCUCCUCUGAAGCUACAAGUAGUUUGAAGUAGUGAGGAAAGAUAAUAUCGCAGUAAUCUCACUUUAUUAACAAAUCUCCGCCAGAAGACUCAGACUUACUCCUACAGAGAUUGUAUUGAUUGAUAUUUUUAGCGCUGUUUUUCGCCUCCCAGCAGCUUGACAGACAGCGUUGUAUUGUUGGUGCGUCUGAAAAACCAUUGUUGAUUGUUCAUAACCCUGAAAAAAGUAAUUUCAUCUGCUUUUGAUGAAACUCUCCCUCGCCGGUGAUUGCACUGCAGAAGUUACUCGGCAGAUACAAUUAUCCAACUGACCUCCUGACUUUAAGCAAUACAGCAGAGGGAGAAAACAGCCAGUAUCAUCAAAAUAAAGCCAAAACAGCCAGUCCUUUUCUUUAUUUUCUAUAGAGCAGGUCUGCUUUUCUUGCCAACAGUGUUGAAGAUUGCUUCUUUUCCUUAACCUCGAUUUCUAUUCUCCCAUUUCUGUAGGUGUUUAAUCUGUUUGGAUGUUUACAGUGUGUGGGGUUGUAAUGUAAGGUUUUAUCAAACAUGUGAUAAAGAAGAAAGCAGAAUGAUCAUAGGAAUAUUUGUUUUCAUGACUUUUACAUCCACAUCUAUGACAAUUCUUUAUUAUUUUUCUAUUUGUUUUUAUUUGAUCUGACAGACACAAAUACAGCUUACAUUUUUACCUUUUCAUGAAUCUGCAUCUUGCAUCAAACUGAAGAUCUGUGGACUGUGUGUAAAUUACACGAAAAUGUGUUUCUUCUUCUUGGGGUUCAUAUUCCCUUAACCAUAGCCAUGUUUACAAAAUUUCUUGAUCUGAUAAAAAAUUUGAGGGAUCGGAAAAUCUGACUCUACUAUUAAUAUAGGUGCAAAAUCAAAUAGUCAGAUCAUGACGUGCGUAUACAUGCAGAAAGUUUUAUUCAGAUUAGAAGCAUUUGGACAUGUGCAGAGUUGUCUGAUUUCAAUAAAACAACCACAGAAAAAGAAGAGUUGUAUCUACCCCUGCGCGGUCUACAAACCAACAAACACGGUAGUGGCUCACUCCAUCCAAUUCAGGAGUUUUCCCCCCUGUUAAAUAUUGUCACUAGAUGGCGCCCUUACGUACUCAUUUUACUGUCCUGUCAAAGGUUGCACCGGACGCGUUUCAGAAUAACGAUCGGCAUAAACCAAUAUAUACAAUAUAGCUGAAAUGGAAUACAAUUUCUUUCCCAUUGAGCAGAAUAGAAUCAGAAUCUUCUGAUUGACAUGUUUACGUGACGUAUUUUUAUUCCGAUCGGGCCUUUAUUCUGAUUAUAUGUACCCAUGUAAACGCAGCUACUGUCAGAGUAGAAGAAGAAGAAGAACUUGAUUGAUUCCCAAUGGGAAAUUCAAUAAAUAAUGGAUAAUAAUAAAUAAUAAAUUAUUCAGUAAAGCCGAUAUCAGUAGAUAUAUCUAGAUAAGCACUUUGUUGUUGUAAUAACCUCAUGAGUCCUUUUUAUACGUGAAGCAGGGCAGCCUCUAGAGGGCGCCUCACACAAACCAGCCUUACAUGAACUUCGGUUUGUCUUUCGUUGUUGUCAAACUGGCAUCCAUUUCUUUCCUGUUUUCCAUUGUUAUUUUCUAUCAUAGUUGUCUCUUCUGAUGCCUGAGUGAGGUGACUUCAUUUAUUUUUACCCAACAUGCUAACUUUCCUUAAAAAGUUACACCAUUUUUAGAGCUAGCUUGACUACUUCCUAUAUAGUAACCCCUGAAACGUUCAGUCGCGUCCUGAAGCAGCAUCGUCAUCAGACAAAUCUUGUCAUUUCUUUGGUCUUUGCUCUUGUUUUUUUUUACAUUUCCAUUUAAUUCCUUCUGAUUUUUUUUCUCAUUUGGGAUUAAUUUGUUUGUGAGAGUGGUUUGUCUGUUUAUCCACCCCGGUUUGUGUGCCCCCUGAAAUAAUCUCCUUUGUAUUCUGCGAGGUAAAUGCCAUCGUGUCUGCCUGAAUAAUAAUGACUGUAACUUCUGUUUUAAUCAUGACUAGAGUAAACAAACCAAAGUGGCUGUAGAGUUCUUUUACAUUUACAUUAUAAUCCUCAGACAUAACAGAGCUGGUACUUGUCUAAGUACACAAACUGAGAGUACCUGAGCUAAGGCGGCAUGUGUCCACUAAAUGCUGGCUCUAAAUUCAAUGACCUGAAUGUUGUUGGCAGCUCUGUCCUAUUAAAAGGUCUCCCCUCCCUGUCUUUGUCUCUGUGUAAACAGAUCUUUAAAAGGCGAUGAGGUUGCCUGGCCUGUGCUGCCUUAUCUGCAAAGUUAGGAUUGUCUGGAGAAGAUGACCCGGGGUUAUUGAUUUGUGAUCUCUCUUAUGAACAAACACGGACACAUACACCUGCUCACUUUGGCUCAGUUUCACUCUUCCUCUCGCCGCCUUAAAGGUGAUUUCUGUCCAACUUACGAGGCUCGUACACUUGAAGGAAACGUGAAAUCAGGCUUCAGGGAACUCGUGUAUGGAUAUCCUAGUAAAAGAAAUGCCUCUUUACAAGUUUCAAACAGAUGUGAGGAAAAUCUAAAAUAAAUAAUUAGAUUUAAACCCAUCUGGUUCCCACUGAGCGGCAUCUUUCCCCCCCACAACCUUCCUUUUUCUUGUCACUUAGCAGAAGCCUGACUGUGUCAAAUCAAUGUCAAAUUUAAAUGUUAAUAGAAUCUUAAAUUAUUCACCAUGCAGUUGAGCCCAUUUGAACUAUUCCUUGGCUCCAAAUGACUUCUCCCAUAUAAAUAUAUGAUGCCAGGAAUAAAGGUCUGGCUUGAGUCCAAGGAGGCUUCUGUGGUGGGGAUGCUGAUUCGAACAAAGGAUGUCAGGACGUAUUUCUAACUUAAUAUCAAUAAUGACAUUAUAAUCGUCUGUACCAUCAAGAUUACUCUGGUACUAAAGCGAUUGACAGUGAUGGUAGUUGUUCAUCUUGUACUUAUUCCUUUUUUAUGAGAGUUUAGCUCCGUUAAGAGACUGAUUCAAUCUCUGUCUUUAAAGGUUUGAAAGAGGGCGAAAGAACCAGAGCUUUACACAACUGAGGUGAAACCUACAACACGUGGAGUUCACAAGUAAGUGACAAUCUACUGUGAGCCCAUUCAUAUGUUAUUUACGUCCUUACAGUGUGGACAAAACUGAAAGUAUCUGAUCCAGCUGUCGCACAAUACCAGCAUCGACCAAAAUAGUCUUUUUAAGCAAAUAAAGCAUCAAUAUAGCGCUACAUAUGAGCACACAGCAAUAACAUGGGUUAUUGGCAGUCAUUGCCACACUUAACAAAGAGGAAAGGCGAAGAAGAAGAAGCGGUAGCUGCUAGUGAGCUGGCUGUAGCAGCUUUCUGAGACAUGAUUCAGAACAUUCAAAGGCUUUUGUGAAAUCAUUUUCCUAUUCUGUAAUGAGAUCUACCAGAAGUAGUAUCCUUCAGAAUAAAGGUGUAGUUUUAAAGUGUGGGGAAUGAAACAGCCGUAACACAAGACAAAAAAAUGUCAAAAUAAAAGCAUGACAAACAAUCAUUUUUUAAGCCAAUAUCUUCCUUUUUGACGUGAACUGGUGCUGUGGAUAAAUCAUAGAAGUAAUUUUCAGAAGACUUCAAAAAAAACAACAACACACAAUCAGUCAGAGGAAAGGUGAGACAAAAGCAUAACAACACAUACUUAAUAAACUAUAUUAUGAAACACAGCUGACAAGUCUUAAUUAAUUUGUAAUGACGCUCAAAUUUGUGACUCAUCCGCUUAACUGGCCAUGCUUUUAUUUUGAUACUUUUCUGUCUUGUGUUCAGAUUGCUUGAUUUAAUACAUGCUUUUAUUUUGAAGUAUGAGCAACUUUCUGCAGAUUAUACACUUAACAUCAAUAAAUUGUAAAUUUUACAAUUUUAAAAAACCUAAUCCUAACCCUUACCUUAACUUUAUAAUAACUAAGUAAUGUUUAUGGGUGAUUUAUAAACCACUUAUUAAUCAUUCACAAAGUGUUACUGACACACAUCUUAAUUUAGAUGUUUUACAACCAAUAUUUAAACCCUAUAUAAACCUUUAAUAAAUAGUCCAUUAACAAUUAAUGAAAAUUAUUAAUCAUAAUUUCAUUCCUUGUUAAUGGUAAAGUAACUAUGAAUCAGUAAUCUAAAGAGACAAGGGCUCCUAAACUGUGUUUGGAUUCACAGUAAAUCUUUGAAUAUCAGUGAAUAAAAAUAUUGAAUCAUCUCCCAGAAGGCUGCUACAGCUACCUCACCAGCAGCUUCUUCUUCUUCUUCUUCUUCUUCAUCUCUUCCCCACUUUUAUGACAUGUGCCAACCAGCGCGGGGACUACAGCUAUAAACUCGUGGUAUAACCGUAUGUUUAUUUUUAGCUCAGUAUCGAUCCACAGUUCAAUGGGACAGCCUCAGUGCAGAAACUAUCUCCUUUCAGUCUCCUGGAAGCCUCUCACCACAGUGAGAAUCUCCUCAUGUAUUUAUGACACCAGCUGCUAAAUGGUUGUUCAAUAAACCUGCUGCAUUGAUCUCACUUUUUAUUAUAUUUCAAGAAAAAUCGUCUCAAACUGUAUUUUUAAACCAUCUCUUAAGUUCCUUCUUCCUCAUUUCUGGUAUUUUCUCCUUGUCGCCUCCUUACUCCAUCUGAGUCCCAUGAUGUCAGUGCUGCACGGCAGAUUGCACCCUUGCACAAACCAUUGCUAAAAUCUCACAUUAGCCGUCAAGGCCUUGAAUCCCAACACUACAGUGACCUUUAAGAAGCUCUGUUAUUACCUCAGCACUAUUUCCAGACUUCAGUUCUUCGUCUGUGCUGCUGUUACCCGUUAACGUGUAAAAAUAUGAGUCAAAGCCACAUCUGAAUGUAACUUAGCGUUACGAAGGUGGAGUAGAUUUCAGAGGCAGGAGAAUACAGCCAAUAAGGAGAGGGAUGUUUUAUUAGGAUGAAAGAGGAUGAAAUGUCAUGGCUGAGGGACAGCCGCUGACUGAUGUGGCCUGUGAAUGGGCUGUGGCAUCAUCUCGGAAUAUGAUUUAUCGUGGCGGUGGAGAAAGCGCUGAAACUUUCAUUGAAUCAGGGAGGAAUCAUUUAUCACUUUUAUUAGUCUCAAGUAUUCGCUUUGCCGCUCAGCCCGGAGCCAUCCAAAUAAACACAGAGGAGGAAGUCGGAGCGAUCGCAGCCCUAAUGGCGGCAUCAGAGCAGCAGAUUCUGAUGCGUUCCAGAUGUUUUAUGAUUAGACAUAAUGGCCUGCUUGAAAUGGCAACUGCAGCAUAGCCAGGCGCUAUUAAACUGUCUUUUUGUACCCAUUUGAGAACAAUGUACUGCCCUGGAGGAUAGUGAACAUCUAUCAUGUAAUUAGGGUGCCUGUGCUCCAUAUGUAAAAUCAAGUCUUUCUGAAAUCCUGAAUAUAAGAAAAUGACACUGAAUGGCUCGUGGUAAAUGGCAGCUACUAUUAUUCUUACAUCCAUCUGCUCACAUCACGUAAUCACAUCACAUGCCCGUUCCUCCAACAAUAACACACAGACAAACACCUGCUCGCACUGAAGGCUAUUGGCAUCUGCUGGUGCGGAGACAGGAGAGGGGAGGUUUUUUACAAUAUGUGGCACAGAGACAGGCGUCCCAUUGUUGGGGUUUAAUUCCACGGGGCAAAGCCAUCACACCCGCAAUCCACUUUUAAGUGACGCUGCAAACAAAUAAUGACAAGGCCCGCGCAAUUCAUCAAAACCUGCGCGUUGACUUCCAGGAUCUUUCAGCGCAGAUGGUCUGAAAUGCCUCAACACAUGUCUGCGACUUUGUAAUCCUCCGACAGGCUUUACACCCCCCUCUGUUUUUUAUGUCUCCUGACCUUGACGGCAUUUUCCCCGCUGUUCCAUAUGCAUGUUUUCAGGAAGCCACGUGUCACUCUUAAUGCAGUUGGCACGCUGUCAUGUCAGUUUGAUGCUUUAAAAUAUGUGACAAGCUUUGAGAAACAACAAAGCCCCACACUUCAAUCAAGGAAGUAAAACACACUCAGUCAGAGGCAGACGCACGCACACACAAACGCACACACACGCGAUGGUGCUGCCAGGCGCAGGAGUGACAGGUUGAAAGACAGACUACUGAUAGUAAGUUACAAGUUAAAGGAGCGCGGUGAAUUCACAGCCUUUAGUAACGUUCAGAUCUGUGAGUGCGUUUAAAGACUGUCAAAUCACGAGGACUGAUUCCUCCUCCUAUCAGAUUUAUUUCUGAUUAGAUUUCACACGAGUUAAAGUUAAGUUUAGCCAAGAAAAGACAGCAUGUAUGUGCAGAACCCCUGCUAUGUUGAAAGAGAAACCCUGUAGUUUAGCCUGGAGCAACCCAAUUUUUCAUAGACAGUUGAAGUUGCAGUUACAGAUGUAAUAACAUGUUUUUGUAUUGUCAUUUUAUUAACUGGAAUACAUGCUGUAAAAGGUAAUUUUAGUUUCCUCUCCCAUUUUUCAGACACACGUGGAAUAUUUUAAUAUCAAAACAGGUGAGAUGUCAAACAAAAAUGGACACAUUAAACCAGAUUAGCAGCACAGCAUAAGCCGCUGCGCCGUGUUACCUCCCUGGGGCGCAUUCAUUUAACGGACGAUACCGAACAGCAGACAGUCAAAUAUUAGUUUCCUCCAUCUCCCUCGGUACAUAACCAGAGGGGUCCACGGUUCCUCCCCCCUCCUGCUCCCCUCACCCCCAAAUUGCUCCGGCGCUCAUUACCUCUGCAGGAUUGAUGUUUUCUUUUCAUAAUGCACCAAGCUGAUAUCCCUCAGAUUCAGAAUUAAUAAAAUAUGAAGGGCAUUAAUAUUCCCAGCGUUCACGUUUUCGCUAUUAUUGCAGAGGUGCUGGUGAAAACCCCAGACUCGCCCGGCCCUGUCAAUCACCCUCCAGGUGUGCUGCUGCUUCUCUGCCCCUCUCAGGCUGGAGGUGAGCUGCUGACAGACUUCAAGCAGCUCCCUCAAGGGCAUUAAAGGGCGGGUUGUGACACAGACGGUGUAUGUGUCUGUAUCCAAGACCAACUUCCUUUAAUGUAAACCGUGUUCAGAGAGGGGAGGAGAUCUGACGCUCUUUGAUGAAUUCUGUUUAUGUGCUUUGUUUUCCUCAGUUUUCAAGAGAAUCAGUCUAGGCCGAAAGCUGUUCUUUGAUGUAGAUAUCCAUAAAUAUAUACGUGUGUGCGUGUAUAAGCGCUCUUAACCACUUUUUUGCAUUGUGCGAUUUUGCAUAAAUCCAUGAGAAUAAUGCAGAUAAUGAGCUGUUUUCAGAGACAUGGUUUUUGAGCAAAUGUGGUGAUUCCCACUUUAGAGUCAUGUCUGUUUUUAAUGCAGUGCUGCCUGAGGUUUCUUAGAUAACCACUGCCAUGACCACUUACUACAGCUAGUACAAUAAAUAGAGCAGUAAGACCUGAAUUACACAAGUAAAAUCAAAGUUAUUUGCAUCUGUGUAGUCUACCAAUUAUUAUUAUUUGCAUUUAUUUGGCUAUGAAUCAAUUUGGGAAUUUAAAGGGAUAUUCGGCUGUAAAAUUAAUUGAGGGUCAAACGCACCGUAACACCGAGUUAGACACCCCCUCGAGAGAUGAAUGUUGCCGACCGCUUGCUUCUCUAGUUAUACCAACUUUAGUAAAGACCGCACGAUAGCAAUACACAGCGGUCUGAGGAGCCAUAAACAAACCUCAACCAAAACGUCACUCUAUAGCCACAAAUAAUACUCAGAACAGCACCUAACUUCAUCAACAGGACAUAUAGGGUCCCAGCCACCAAACAUCUUUUUAACUUUGCCUUCUUUCUUUAGCAAAGAGACUAAACACAACUCACCUACUCUCUUCCAGCAGCCGCUUGUUUGUAGCGAGACCCCAUUAUGGACUACAGCAGGGUGACGCAGCUCAAGGAAAAACGCUAAGGCAGAAGAACUACUGUGUCUGCAGUGUAAAAUGAUUGAUAUGGUGAUUAUUACUUCAAGAAAUGAUCAUAAAUGUUUGAAAUGUGUUUGACCUUAAAUUAAUUUUAUGCUGGAAUAUCCCUUUAAAGUUGAUCUGAACCACUUUGUGCAUUGUGUGAUUUUCCAUAAACCCAUUAAAAACACAGAGACACAGUUUUUAGGACUAAUUUUGAGUAAAUGCAGUGAGUCCCACUACAGAGUCAUGUCUGUUUCUGAUGCAGGCCCCGUACAUCCCCACUACACAGUAUUAGAUUUUCAUCUCGUCUCCAAAAUUCUGACUCCUUGGAUGACACUUUGCGCCCCACAUGAUGACUCAUGACUCCUUGCCGUGGCGUUCAUGACAUGAGCUAAGCUAAUGUGAAUGGCAGUUAAUUAGAGGAGGGAGCUGACAGCUGCAUAAUGGCAAAGGAAGACAGCAGGAUGUUAAAUAGCAGCGAAAAUAGGCUAAGAGUUACGUAAGAAACCAAAAUAAAACAGAGAAACUAGAGCUUAAAGCUGAGAUGAGAAGAAAGGUGGAUGUUUUGAAAUCUGUAGACGGAGUUUUAAAAGAUGUCUUCAAGUUUUGUGUAUUAAUUACAGCUUAUUUAAGUACUUUCUGACUGCUACAAACUUUGUGGCAGAAGUUUGACUCACUUCUCUGGAGGAGAAAGAGCUAACACCCAGCUGUAGGACCUCCCCUGUGAAUGUAGGUGUCCACAGUUGCUGCUUCUUCACAUCUGAAGGAGUCAGCUGAUGCAGUUUGGGCAUUUUUUUGGGAUACGUCCUGGAGGCUUUCCUGUGGAGGUGUUCGGGGCAUGAACAGUGGGAGGAAGACCUCGAGGUUGGCCCAGAGCUUGCCAGAAGGGAUUAUAUAUCCUAUCUGGUCUGGGAGCGCCUCAGGAUCCCUUGAGAUUGAUUGGCUGAGACUGCUGGCCUUGCAGCCCAAUCCUGGUUAAGCAGAGGAAAAUUGAUGGAGUUGUGGCAUGAUGAGAAAAGUAUUGAAUGUUGUUUCCUGUCCUGAGCCCCGUUAGAGGAUGCGAGGAUGAAUUUUUGUGAUGUUAGGACAUGCUCCUUGCAGUCCUGUGACCACGGCUUCAAUAAUGUCCUCUCCUGGUGGACAUAUCUGCCAUCCUGCUGCAUUUAACUGCACUUUCCUCUGCGGCUCCUCUCUGUUUUCAGCCUGGCUGUUUUUCCUUUCAGGUGAAAAGCAGGCGGGGGGGCUGGCUGCCUGUGCUCUGAGUGACUGUGUUGUUUUUGUGCUUUGAUUCCUCUUUGCAUUUUUACAUUAAGUAAGCCACCGGUAAUUCUCCCAGGUGCUCCCCCUUUUUGCCAACGCUGGCCUUUUAUUCUCGGUACACAAGUCAUUUCAUCAGGUGGGGUCUUUAAAAACAAACUCACAAAGGGAACAAAAGUACAGCAAAUUAACACGGACUGGAAAGUACGAUAAAAUAGAUGAGUCAAAGAUUUUACUUUUUUCUUCUUUGUUUGUUAAAAGCAGACCGGACAAAAGAGCAUCCAGAGAAAACUGAGCGUAAAGUCAAGUCUGAUUGCCUCGCGCUCUCCUCUGUCUCACGGUAGUGCAGGUCGUCCAGCACUGUGGCUCUAGGUGGGUUUGUCUGACAGUCUUUAAACAUGACAGAUAAGAGAGAAUAAUUAAUUUAUCAGAGCAGGCCAGGCUUUAAUCCCUGGUGUCCUGGUGAUAAGGGAAGGUUUCUUCUCUCCUGAUCCCUCUGCCGAUAGGGGCUUUUUUCCUCGCCGCUUUCCCGUUAAUAAGCCUGUCAAAGAGGCGCACGACUCUGGGCUCUGUCCUGUACGGGUUAUCUCUCCGCCACACGUUCCCAUCUCCUCCCUGACAGCCGACAGCAACCGGGUCGCCGGGCCUUUGAAACCCUGGGAGAGCGGGGCCCGUGGGCGUCUCUCUGAGGCGGCCCUGUCAUUUAAACCUGCUAAUUCAAACAUCAGGUGGGUCCGAAACCCACAGGAGGCGCAUCAGCAGUCCUGACAGACAGAUGGACGGACCGCACUGUCCCCAAAAGCUGCACUUUAAUAAUUCUCUUUAAACGCAGUCAUGUUCAGGUUUUCACCUUUCCUCGUGUGCAGCUCCUACCUCUCCGUAGCUGCAGGUAAUAUUUAAUGCUGCAUGUAAGAUGAAGUAUGUCUGAACAUAAUUCAUCCUGCAAAUGCAAACCUGUACGGUCAGUGAUGAGAUCCGUGUUAGAGCAGGAAAUUUAUCACGAGCCUUGAAAGUAUAAAACCCACAGUAAGCUUACAGAAGGGCUAGCCUUGAAUGACGAUAACCAGGAAGGGUAUUUUUGAGUCAGAUAUGUGAGUAAUCUAGUCGAGAUGUUUAAGCGGAGAUAGAAAAUGAUUUCAGUUCAGGGUCUUGAGAAGAAUUUAACAAAUUUUCAACAAGAGCAAAAUACAGGAAAUACAGAACCGUUAAAAUAUAAAUGUAGUUAAAGCUCAAAGUAUUAUUUAUGGUUAUAAUCUGUCUUAAAGCUACUGUGAGGAUGUUUUCCACCUUCAUGAAAUACUUUUAAAUUCAUGUUGAUCCCUUUUUAUGAUAUACGAAAGCAAACAAGGCCAUCAGUGAGACGACUGAAGAUGUUUAUUUUGUAUUUUUUAAUUAAUUCGAGGGGCAAGGUGUUCACCAAGAAGCUAAAAAAACCCAGCUUUUUUUCAAAUUUCACUUUGACUAUUCAAAAUAAAUCAUGCAUUCGACCGUUAAAAGUUGGCAGGAUUAUUAUUUUUUGUCUGGAGAAACUAUUUAUGUCAUAUAGAAGACACAAUAAGCCACACGGGGGCGCCAAAGUAGCCGCAAACUAAAAAGUACCUUAUAGGAACUUUAACAAACGGGAACAGAGACAGAGACUGAUCAUUGUUUCGCUGUUCAUGGCAUAAUCUAACUCAAUAAUCUAAUGAACUGCCUACUCCUUUAUUUUCCUUAAAGGUAAAAAGUUUAGAUACUAUAAACUUCUGUGAAAACUUUGAAGUCUUUUUAUUUUCGACUAAAACAACUUUCACUGACUAAAAUUUUAAAAGUACCGUUCCUUGUAGAGAAACCACAUCCUGAGAUUCUUUCCAGGGACGACAGAAACAAUUAAAACUAAAUCUGAAGGAGGUACAGUGAAUACUCACCACAUUACAGAUGCAACAAUGAUAGCGGCUCAUUUAGUUUUUAAUUUGGAGCCUGAGUGGCCCGGGGAGCGAGCGGGGAGGACAGUGUGUGUCCCGGGGGAGCAGCGGGACGUCUGCGGAGGAGCGGUGUGUGCGGCGGCCCUCUCUGCACCGUGGUCCUUCAUCAAUUCCCUAAAGCCUCACCUAUUUUGCAGGCUGACUGCAUGCAUUAUCAUAUUUUAUGUGGGUCAUGGAAAGCAGCAAGAAUCUGCACCGCUCACGAGAAUUUGUGUUGGGUGUGUGGCUGUAGCUCCAUUCGACUGAACAUUUUGCAUAACAAAUGAACUGCAAGUGCAGUUAAUUCUGGAAAUAUUUGCUCCUUCCCUCCUGGUGCACCCGUCGACUUUAUAUACGUUUUUUAAAAUCCACUCUUUGAUACUGUGAUUUAUUAUUGAUCUUGUGUACCCGGCCUUUUUAUCUGGGAACCAGCAGACCAGUUUACACACAACAAUCACGCCAAGGUCAGUUCUGAAUGAUUCACUUUGUGUCCCUGCUCCGCCAGUCUGUCUCUGUCUAUUUGUCUGUCUUCUGGCUAACUGGAGCACUUCAGCUUUUCGAUCUGUCCAUCCUCGGGAAAAAAAAACAUUUAGCCAAUGCUGCGCCUUAUCUCUCUUGCUCCUCUAAUCUCCUGUGAGCGGCAGGAGUGGAGGCAGAGGGGCUGUCAUUGUCCGGGGAUGUGAACCUGCAACCUUUUCAAUUUCACCCCGCGCUUCAAAAGCCCUUCCGCCUGGACGAUCGCACGUCCUGGACAAAGGUGCCAUUUGCUUUUCAUUUCCUCCACGAUAAGGAGGGGAGAGAAAGUAUUGUAUAUUGUAAUGCUCCCUCACCUUUCUGACAUCAGCAAAAUUGAGGUGCAGGCGAAAGAUCAAUACAAAUUAAAAGUAAAUACAAAAAAAAGGAGGGCAGUAAAGAAGAGGAGUUACAUUACCAUGUUUGGAAAUCCAUUUGCUCGAGCUUCUCUUUUCAAAGUGCUUUUGUCUGUUCAAGAAAGGAGGAGGAAGCAGAAAGUUGAAGAGCUGAAAACUUUCAUCAAUAUGUUUUUCUCUCAGAGAAAUUAGAUUUCAGGGCAAACAAAUAACUUUUAACUUUGUUGGAUUAGUUUGUGCUGAAGUUUAGUUGGCGUAGCAAGUUUGAUAUCAGUUUAUUUAUCUAGCAUAUCAAUAUUUUUGGGGGUGGUUAUAGAAAGUUUGAGAUUUAGCUGUCAAAUUAAACACUUUAUCACUGAAAAACACCAAGUCAUUCUUCAAGGCAACAAGAGGCAUAAAGCAAACGUCUUAUUAGCAACAAUGCCAACAGUGUAACUGAUCGUCUUCAUGUUCCUCAUCCUCUGGAAAUAAUGCAAGAAAUCAGUCUGUUUAACAUCAUCACUGCAGCUUCCCACUCUUACACCGCUAUUUUUUGUUUGGCUUCAGUUAGCUUUAGCCUGGUUAGCAGCAGCAGCUAUCUAGCUAAAGUGUUAAUCAGGAAUCAGACGGGCUUCAAAACGAUACAUAUAGUAUACAGUUUAGGACACAUUUGGAGUAACUUAACAUGAUUUUCAACUUUAUUUAUCUUAUUCAGGCAUCUAUGAAAACCCUAUUUCCAGCUCUAUUCUGCCUCUGUCUGAAUCGCCUUGUUUUUGCUGCUUUACUGAUGAUUUAAAGUUAGACACCGCAUGUCAGCGUUACUUUUCACUCAGCUUUAUAAUCACCAUAGACUGUAUAUAGAAUGGACGCCAUCUGCCUCCUCACUGGAUGAAGCCACCGCGAGAACAGCACCCUCUGGUGACGGGCUGCAGUAUAGGUCAUAAAUCCCGCCUCCUCCAGCAAUCCCUAUAGAGGUGUGGACAAACUUUAGACACUUAUUACACAGAAUACAAAAUUUUCUCCCCUCUGGUUGCGAUGUUGACAUGUAGUUACUGUAAGACUGGUUUGUGCUUAAGUCCUCUUUUUGUCUGUGCAGCUCAGUUUUUAAAAGUUAUUAAGGGGUUCAUGUUUUCUAUGAUUGACACUUCAGGGCUUCAAAUCCGUAUAAUGACGGAAGGCGGAGCCAAGCUGUCCGUAGUAUAUACAAUCAUUGGUAACCACACAAUGACGUUAAAGUUGAGUCUUUACAUUAGCUACUGUUACAUUACCAGCUCUUGUUGUCUUACUUGCAGCUGGAGGUCCCAUAAGACUCUCUGAUGCUCUUUAUAGCUGGACAAGCCCUUAGAUUUAUUACCAGCUGAAAUGCAAAUCCAGCUCAUACAGGCCUUUGUUUAUAAAGGGGUCAACAGUGAAGUGGCGAGCUUAAGCAGCCAUGAUGUGACUGUUGUUACUUUUUUCUGGAGGCUUCUUCCUGAUAAUAACUAACUGUUUCCAAAACAUUACUUGUUUGCAACUUUAUAAGACUUACUGAAUGAACCGUAUGACUGCAUAAAAUGCUCAAAAUUGGGGAUAAACUAUCGGUCAUUUAAAGUAAAACAGAAAAAUACAACAUAGAACACGAUGAUUCAGCACUCGCUGCUCUUCCUCCUAAAGAGACAUUAAUUUUGUGUCAUCUUUGUUUGUAGAUCAUAUCAUCCUUAGCCUUCUCACACCGCCAUAAACAUCCAGCAGCUGCUAUCACCAGUAAACCAUGAUAUCAUUCCUCAUCUGGACUGCGUUAGCAUGGCUCCCAGCUGCAUGGUCAAUGUGCUGGAGAAACUGUGUGUUUUUACACACACUACUUUAUUUUCUGCCUUCGUGUAACGAGCCAAAGUGCUGCAGUUCGAGCUUCUACUCUUGAUUUAUUUCCCUAUUUUCCUCACUAGAACAUUUCCCUGUUCACCAUUUCACUUUCCUCUGCUGGCAUCUUUUCCUGUGCUGCAUUAGAGGAAACAUGCGCCCUGAUAUUCUGUCAUUAUAGCAGCAAUAUCUACACAACAUUAAGCAAAUGACAUCUGGCUGGUAGCAUGUUCCAGUAUCUAAGCACACCUCACGGCGUGGCAGGUGGCCCUGCAUCGAUCAAACGCAGCGCUGCCAGGAUUGGUCGGCAGAAUGGGGAAAAUGGCUGCUCAUGGUAAUUGUGUUUCUCUUCCGACUAUCCUGCUUCUCUAACAGUCCCACAUUUCCAUAGGAAUGGCUUAAGAUGGUGCACAUAUCCACAGGGGUGGAGAAACAUUCUGAAAUGAAAAUAUGCUGCUUAUUUCAACGCCUACGCUUUGGUUAUGGCUUCCGCAGGUGUGAAUGUGAAGCUUCGGCGGCGAAACGCUGAAACAGAGUGUGCAAAAAAACGUUUAAUCUGCACAAACAGUGGGAACACUGCAUAAUCUGUUUAUGCAGAAAACACAUAUUGAAUGUGGGGCUAUUACCUGCAGCAUCAAACUAAACACAGGCAGGCCUGUAGAUACAGAGUCUGAGAAGUUUCAGAUGUCAGUUUAAACAGUUUAGACAUGACCCGAAAUGCUGCUAAGUGCUUAUGGAGGAUUUAUGCGGGGGUCACUGAAUGAUGAGAGCAAAUCCUAGACCAGAGGUUCCCAGACUCUGCCAUGAAAAAGACUCCUAUACAGUAUGUGGAGAGAUGGGGACAUUUAGAGAUGCCCAACAGUCAGAUGUUAGAUUGCCAAGAUGUGUUGCCAUUGGUAACAAAAUCGAGCCAGUCAGUGGGACACAGUUAAAUCAACAAGUAUUACUUGUUUGUCAGGACAGGUGUGUUAGAGAGACGAUCCAAAAUGCUGACUUCCAUACACUCAGUAUGUUUUCAUGUUGCGUACGAUGUGCUGCGCAAUGUUGGUUUCAGGAAGUGGAGAAAGAGUUUUUCGGCUUCAGAUCCGUAUACUGGCGGAAGGCAGAACCAAGUUGUCCAUAGUAUAUACAGUCAAUGCUCAAAAUCUAUUUAUUGCGUUAGUCCGACAGAAACUGGAUUAUUCAAAUACAUGCAAGCGCAGUAAUCCAACUGAAUUUACGUUACAUGGAACUUUUUAGUCGGACUAUCAUACUAGGUGCAGUUGGAGAUUGAUUUUCUCUUCCAUGCAUACGCUCAAUUAGACUGAAACUAGCCUAUGCGUUCUCCAAAUUUCACACAACUUUGAGGAGAUUGAAUAGCAUAAAUGGGUUGCAAGGAAACCGGGUAGUCAACAAAACCUUGACAGACAAAGAAUAAUUGGACACAAAUACGUCCUGUUAGCCACUUGCUAACAGGUUUGUUUUGGUAUGCAACAGGUCAACCAAGAGGAGACUUAUUAGUAACAUGUUGUUAGCAUCCACCAUAGCUGAGGCUAGCAUGCUUUUGUAUUCAAGUCUUGCCCGAUGUUUAAACAAAGACCAUAUCCUAGCUAAAUAACUUAAUCGCACUAUAACUGCAGCUCGACUCAACAGUCUAAGUAGAUGUACCAACUUUCUAACUUAUGAAAUAACAUGUUUGUUAGCAGUGUUUCAGUCCUAAACGGUCAUAUGGCGAGUUUCUGUUGUUAGCAAAUAACCAUGUGAAAAGCACUAGUUGUGUUCCCAAAAAGAGGAGAGUUGUUGUUUGCAAAAGUGUUGUAUUAUUGGCACUUCAAGUUGUAAAAACUUGCGUCUUUUCCUUAAAGGCCACCGUCACAGGAGGGGUGAGCAAAGGGGCAUUUUAUCUAUACUCCCAGUUGUACACACUGUACCUUUAAGGACAGCACAAUGUAUUUCAGUGUAAUGAAAACAGAUUUAGUGUUCAACAUGUUAACGCAGAUAGAUAGAGUCAAAUAACAUGUCAUUUCUACUCGGAGUGGACAGUGUGAGUGCGAGUAAGUCCACCAACUCUCCUGUAACCCAGAGGGACCGAGAAGCAAUCAACAAAUGCAUUACUGUCGUAGGUGCUGUCCACUAACAUGCCCACUCUACUCUUAUUGUGAAAACACAACACACACAUACUCUCAGUGAGCAGAAGACAAGCACCCUGGGAGACUCGGUGGCAUUUCCACUGUUAUUGCUUCUGUAAAUCUGAGCGCAGCCGUGGGAUUACCAUCAGUACAAAUUAAAAACAAAUAGAGGAUGCAGGGUGGAAACACAAGGCAAAGAUCUGGAUCUAUUUGGCCCUGAUUUAUGGACCACUGAUCCAUAGCCGGUUGGGUCAGCGAGCUAGUGAGUGUGCAUUCUAGCAGCCUCAUUGCCAACUCACCUGCCAGUCAAUAACCUAUUUAAUUUAAUGUCACAGCCUAUACGGGCAAAGCAUAUUGACAAGCUGCAGAAUACACCUUCAAGAGGCCUCCAGCUGCUAGUGCCAGAUAAACUGCAUUUGAAAAUUCAAUCUUGCUUCCAUGGUUGCCCCUGAGUCCUUAUAAAUUAUUAAAAAUCACCCCCCCCAGUAAACUAUGAGGGGAAACUUCGAGCUGGGGAGUUAAUGUCAGGUGAUCAGUCGCCGCAAAGACAAGCCAGAAUUCCCAGGUCGCAUUUUCAGCCGAGUCCGGCGGCUCUCAGAGGAGACGCAGUCACUAACUGGCCUUUAUGAAUCUUUCAAAAGGGGGAAAAAGACGAGGAGGAGAUGGUAUUUCAACGAUUAAUAAAGUGUCAGCCCUCGGGUGUAACGUAGGUUAUAUAUGCUGCUGUAGAGCGACACUUUAAAUACGCUCGCCUCUGCUUUCUAUAACGCCGCCUCACCUGGAGGUAAAUAUUAAAGGAGACAAAUCAGAGAGUUUUAUGAGACUCUGUUUGAACUCCAAACAAAACGACGCAUCCCUGAGUGUGUCUCAAAGACUUUGUUGCUCGGAUGACAUCUGAAGGUGACUCCGGCUACAAGUCUCCAUUUUUGAUGCCUCCGUCCUGUCGCAGUCAAUAAGCCAUUUAAUCUGGGUGCUCAGCCGAGUCGAUGCAGCCGAUGUCGUGUCCGGGGCUUAUGGUAGACAAGACGGUGGCUUCUGCCCAGACCUGAUAAACCAUUCAUUCAUUUCCUCAAGCUCCUUUGUCUCCCGUUCGGUUCAGAGAAAAAAGAGCUCUUGGCCUAUUUCAAUCAUGGAUGCCUCUCUUUAAUGAGCUGCUUUAAUCCUCAGCAGCGAACGCAGCUCGCCUUUCAGCGCGACAAAAAAAGUGUACUAGAUUAGAGGAUUACUGGCAUUUAUGUAUUCAUGUACUAAUUUAUGAAUACAAGCCGUUCUAGGGAUGCCAUGCAAGAGAAAGAGAGUCAAAGUCUGCGUUAAUGUUCGUAUCAAAAGCUUGUGUUGCACAAACUGCCAUCACUAAUACGGGUGAUUCAUCCCUCAGGGAACAGAAGCAGCUGCAUGUACCCGGUUACUCAUGUUUAACGUACUUACACUGAUGGGAAAAAAAGAUGUUUUUACUUGAAGAACAACCUGAGUACCAUCAUCGUCCUGCAGUCAGGUUACUUUGAACAGAGAUAAAAGCAUGAAAACAGACCUGCACUGCAGUUUAAAACAAACAACCAACAAAGACACACAUUUAAAACUUACAUAAGUAUCUUAAAGCUGUGAUAAGUGACUUUGAAGGAUUCAGGAAAAGUAAACAGGAUUUCAGAGAGGACCUGAAGAAUGCGGUGGUGUCCCCCUGUAGGCAAAUUCAUGUGCAACUCUUGCCUUUUGUACUAUCUUGACACUGUAGUGUGUACAAAUAUCUGAAUAAGCUACAAACCAAAAACUGCUUUCUAAACUAGACUGUAAACACGCUGAAUCCUGCUGUAAAGAUAGACGUUGUAAUAUGGGACCCAUUGGGUAUGUCUUGAUUUUUGUAGGUAGCCAGCCUCUAGUGGACGCUUGAGGAACUGCAGUUUUUUUGCACCUUGAUGGCUUAAGGCUAAAACAAACAGGAUGUUUAUUUGGCUAUGGAUUUAUCAGUAACACAGAAUAAUCUGAUGGUCAAGCCCUGAUCCAUGUGGACCCCAACAGUAACAGCACAGCAUAAAGGAACAUAGUUUACUUUAUUAAACACGAGUAAAUCUGCGAAAACCCAAACUGUAAACCCACGUUGCUUUUUCAUAUACAGUAGAGGCUCAAUGGUCACUGAAUUAUAUCCAAAUUAUCAGGAAAGAGACCACAGAAAGGAAAAACAACCUGUUGUGAGUAUGUUGUGUCCUCCAUACUGAGAACACGCUUAAUAUGGAUCCUGUAUAUUUUGGGCUUUAAAGUUGCACACCUCUAUAUCUUGACCUUUGCGUCCUUCUUUGUCAUCAGUUUAACUUCAAAUCUGACCGUGAUGUAUGAAGGGAAGUUCAUACAGUUUUUAGAAAGACCUUACAAAGUGCAAUCAUUCUCCCAUUUGGUUCCAUUCAAUCAGCUCACUUCUCUGGCUUCCCCUGCUGGCCACUUGGAUAAAGUGCAGGUACAUCGCUCAUUGCUAUUGGCUGAUUUUUGAAUGCAUCAUCUCCAAACACUAUCAUGUCUUGUGUAACUAUUUGUUUUAGCAGAAGACUUGGUGAGUGAUUGAUACGACACCUUAUCAUUGUAUUUACCAAUUAAUAACAAGUCUGCAACAGCCAAGGGUACUGGAUUAUUGGGUUUCCAGCGCUUUAGAUGUAUUCCAGUAUAUAAGCCUGUAAAAUAAAUGCUGACCCUGGAUCUAAUGAUUUUUUUAUUCCUUAGCUAUGCAGAAAAGCAUUUAAUAUACACACACACUCCUCCUGCUUGUUCGAUAUGCAGCCAAUAAAACUCAGUCCAAAGAUUCUGUGACAGAAACCAUUUAUUUUGCACAGCUGAGAUAACUUUCAGAAAUUCAAACCAGGCUUUAUUAGCUUGUCAUCGAUGCAGAGUGAUGGGACCAGUGCGGAGAGAUGCUCAAACACCACAGCGCACAGUCUCACCCAAGUCUUUUAACUUUGUAUUCUUCUCCGUUUCCGUCUGUUUCGAGCGUUUCUUUUACUUUUUAAAAACUUGUCAUUCCAGUCGAACAAUGCACCUUUGACUCUUCCAGCUGGUGCACAUCCAAAGGCUUCCUGCGUCUUUGCAUAGAAACCCGAACAGUUUUUAAAAUGCAUGAAACUUUCCAGAAGAAGUGCUAUUGUGCGGCUGAAAGAUCAAGUCUAUUGUAGGGUUUGUGGGAAACAAUCACUGUGUGGGGUGUUGGUGGGCAGACAAAGUGCAGUGGGACGCCUCCCGGGCUCCUCUGGAUCUGGCCACGGAACAUCUCGCUAAAUGCGGUCAGACAGAUGAGUCUCGCCUCGGAGCGCUGCCUCCCAAGGGCAGAGUGACAUUUUCUGGGGACAAUAUGGGACUGCAGUGACAUAGAAAACAUCCCCUCCUCCUCCUCUUCCUCUUCCCAGACACACUGCAGUUCAGUUCUGUGGGCCCUCUCCUCUCCUCUCCUCCAUCCCUCCAUCCUCUCCUCCUUUUCUCUCUCCCUCCCUGCUAAUUUCACCGCUCCUGAGUGCUGCUGUAACCGCCUUCUGCCUUUCCAUUCUGUUACAGGUCAAAAGACUUGACAAAGUUCCAGAAAGCCUGGUGGCGCUGCACCGGGGAGAGAAAUGGAUGAAAAUGUGGCUGGGUUCAACAAAGGGAAAUGAUUACAGACAGGAGGGAAACACAGGAGCAAAUUCAGUGUCUGAAAAUGUUAUCUCUGAAGGUGUGACUGUUUUCAAGUGAGCCAUAAUAUUUGAAAAAGGGAGAGUCAAACAACAUCAGAGAAAGAUUCAGCACAUUCACAGCAUUUCAUUUGUUUGUUUUGAGAACAUUUUACUGAACAUGAAAAGAUAGUUUGGCACAUAACAUGAUAAAAUAUUUACUCGGAAAGGCACAAAGUUUGCCAGUUAGGACUGGCUUUGACUGGUAGAUUAAAAAACUAUACUUCCCUUUACUUACGUAUUAAAAAGCUCAAGUUAUCCACCAAAAAAAGAGAGAGAUUUCAUUAGAUAAACAGACGUGUAAGAAAAAAUACUUCAAAAUUAUGUAAAUCUCUAGGUUUGCAUUAAAAUAAAUUGAUUGAAGAAAACAUACGGUGACUUUAAAAAUUGAUAAAAGUCGAAAAAAAUCUUGAAUAUAUGAGAGACUGAGACUUAAACCAGCCGCCAUAUUUGCCCCAGUUUACAAGCCCUGGGCAAGAACCAUUAUAUUGUUAAAUUGGCAGUAUGUUCACCUCCAGUACAGCAGGUGGCGAUACGUCCUUUUCCAACUCCUUACUUCUGAACAGUUUCCUGGUUAUCAUGUUACAUCACAUACCAAAACAAUCGACAAACACAUUUUUUGGACGACAUAUAAAUGAACUGAGAGUGUCCCAGCAGAGUAAGGGGUUAGCUUAUAAAAGUGCUGGUCUUUCAUGACUCCUCUUUGCUGUUUUUAUUGAAUUAGAGAGUUAAAGCUCCAAUGUGGAGUUUUAAUCUGGUAAGGAAAGAGACUGGAUGUAACAGUGAUACUUCUUUAUAGCCUAUAGAAAUGUAAAUGUUCUUUAUUUAUACAGCCCUUUACAACAACCCUUUCGGUGAACCAAAGUGCUUUGCAGUACAUAGAAAAUAAAAAUACAUAAAUAAAAACAAUAAAAGCAACAAAAAAAGAGUAAAAUACAAUGCAUUCAAAUAAAGUUUCACCAUGCUACUGGAUAUUAAAAGCAGCAUAAAUAAGUACGUUUUCAAUCCGGAUUUUAAAAGGCCCAGGUCGGAAAUAAGUCUAAUUUCGGUGGGGAGCUUUUUUCAGAGCCUGGGACCAGCGAGUGAAAAGACUCGGUCACCCCAGUGUUUGUGUUUGAGAUGCCAACAAUAUAAGCAAACCAGAUGAUCAGCAAAAACUUAGACAUUUUUUGUGGUGUGAUUUUAAAGGUUUGUAACUGCUGGACGGGGGUAGGUGUCAGAUGAGAUGAUGUAAAGCACAUGGAAGAAACACCGGUUAUAAAGCAUAAGGAGUGAUAUUUGAGUGAUUUACUUGUACUUGUGGCAGGGAAAUCACUGUCCACAACGGGUGGAGAAACUUGACUUCAGCACAGGAGCUUUAAGCAAGAAUUACAUCUUGAGGCAGAUUUUUUCUCCUUUUGGUUCAAACUUAUUGAAGCUAAAGUGUUGAGAGUGAGUAUGUGAGGCUGUCACUGCCUUGUAAAGUUGCCAGGUCUUGUUAUACAUAUCCUGCAUGUUGUUUUAGGGGGUUUCGCCUUCAUUUGACAGGACAGCCUGAGAGACAGACAAGAAACUAGGUGAAAGAUCAGUGCGAUGAGGACUACAGCCUCGGCACACGGGGUGGUCAGACCAUGAAAUCCAUUCGUAUGAUUUAAAAGACAUAACUAGAGGUAAAAUAGAGAGUACAAGCCAAUCAACUUAGUGUUCCUCUGUUUGCCUCCUGAUCAUAUAUCAUCACCUUGAACAUAUAUAGAUCUAUACAGACCAUCAUUUUCCUCCAGCUGCGUGUCAGUGUCCCCUCCUGUAUUUACUGUCUAGCCUCCUGUACUGUGCUGUCAUCCGUCUGAGUCACUCCGCACAUCUGUCAUUGUGGAUUGCUGCGCUGCGCCGUGUGACAGAUGAGUCCUUCCUUCUCAGCAGGGUCUCUCUCCCUCUCUCUUGGGGGGGGAGGUGCAAAUUUCUGCACAUCCGAGCAUUUGCAAUCAUGCACAGCACCUUGAUGAGAGACGGGGCCCCGCCACUUGAUUGACUGGCAAGCUAACAUGAGGCGAAGGCGACAAACACCACGAAGACCGCGAGCGCGUCCCCGACUCACACGGAAACAGGCCUGGACACUCAGAACGAAUCACCGCACAUUAAGAGCUCAUCUCUCCACCUCGCUCUCCUCCUGAAUUAUGUGACUGGCUGAUAUCCGUGGCUAAUCUCAUUAGGUUAUGUCAGUGAGCAGGGGACAGGUUGCCACUGAAGCUGCUCUGACUGAGUAUUACCGUUGAUUACACAAACACAAGCCUCUCCGCCAUGCAGGAAGAUGUUUUAUUGUCCACUUCAGAGGGAGGAUAAUGUUUGCAAUCAACGUUUGGAGAGUUUCUUGACACCGCGAGACAGGGUCAGAGACAAUUAACUUUCAAGGGUCUGGCCAGAAAAGCAUCCAAUCAAAUCCAGCCAGUCGUUUUCUUUCCUUGUGUUGUACAGCCAGUUAGCGGUCGAUCCAAUUAUGACUUAGGAUCAGAGUCUUGGUUGUACUGCGAGGCGUCCUGCAGGCAGACGCACACAGAGCAGGAGGAGAUCUCUGUGGAGGGCCGUCUGUCGCGCAGGGAUUGUUUGACACUCAGCUCUGAUUGCUCCGUUUUUCAGUGUUAGGUCCCCGCCGUAGGAGGCUAACAGGCCCAGCUCAAGACCGUCUCUCAGUCUGUCCUCCCCAAUGAGGACAAGCACAACUCCAGCUGGGUCGACGGGGUGCUGAUUGGCCGAGAGACUCAGCGCCUGCCGGGGGCACGAGGGAGAGAGGAGGGACCCAGGCGGUCCUGCUGUUUGUUUAAAGGCAGGAAGUCAUGUGGAAAGGCCUAAUGUUUUAAUUGGUGUGAGCGGCGACGGACGGUUCCUGACGAGACUCAUUAAUCAGAGCGGGGUGAAAAGGCUAGAGGCAGAAAGAGCACGAAGAAGAGACGGGAGAGAGAUGGAGGUAUCAGGCAGUACUGAGUGUCAGACAGACCUCUUCAGCUGGGCUCAGACUUCAGGAGUCGUUGAAUGAUUUUGAGUCAUUUUACCAUUUUUUUGUAAAGAUCUAUUUCACAGGUUCUUGCUAUUACUUUUGAGAGGCGAUGAUAGAGGAUAGAGAAGAAAGAGAGGCAGCAACACGCAGGAAAGAGGAUAUAGAACAGAACUGAACCUUGGCAGCUGUAUCAAGGAGCUCAACCUCUGCACACUCGCCUUAAUCCAGUGGCACCCCUCACUUCAGAGGAGGAAACUGUUUAUGAAGUGUUAACUGGGAUUUCCACCGCAUCCGAAACGGCACCGAUCUGGAAUGGCAGCGAUUUUCACUGUACGCAAAUUCCUUCCGGCUCCAUUUGUGAGACGAAUCAUAAGAACUCACGAGAACCUGCGGAUUCACAUGUAAUCGCGCGAAAACGAGUUGUCUUUAGCCACAUAGGCAAAUAUAAGCAGUAGAUUGUGGAAAUCUACUUCUAGACUCAUAAAAUCAGCAUCCUCUCAUCCAUGAUGUCAUCGUGGUGAAAUGCUGUCUACAAACCUUUUACUUGUUCGUCCCCGCCCGUUUGCAUGGUCUGAGAUACAAACCGCCUAAAAACACUAGUGUUUUAUUUUGAAAAGAAGCCGGAUGCUUUAUUUUGUGUCUGUGCUCGACUUCCUUUCCAGCACGGGUUGAUCUUUGCUAAAUUUAUAUGGCAUGCUACAGCGUCCAGAAAAAAAUUGAACUCUUGCGAUUAGCUGCGGAGUCCGGCGAGCCGCAGUGGAACGGAAAGAGGCCGUUGGAAAUUGACACAUUACCUUAAAUGGUUGCGAUCAGCUACGACCGGCGGAUACGGCCUUUUUGUAGCUGUUCCGGAUGUGGCGGAAAACGCCGGUAAAUUUUUUAUCAUUAACUGCAUCCAGAACAAGCUGCUUGUGGGAGCAUUGAUGCCUUUCAGCAACAAGAUUUGAACACCUAUCGUCUUUAUUCUGUUACAGCUGUACCUCAUAAAUGUCUAUUCAAACCAAACAGGACAAAGCAGCUCUGCAUGUGUUUGAAAUAAAACACUAAAAUAUCCCUGAAUUUUCCAUGUGUGCAAAAUGCAGAUUUUAAAAUCAGUCGACAUCUCUAAACUCCUGUAGUUUCUACCCCGUCUUCGCCUCCUCGUCCUCCUUCCUCGCAACAAUCAGAGACACCCACUGACACCCUCACAGCUGCGUCUGUCACACUCGGCCACUCAACCACAGAGAGCCGAGCGAGGCUGCAGCAAUAAUUAGAAACUAUUUACACAGGCGUACAUGUGUACAUGUUGAAAAACCCACUCCAGAUCACGGAGAUGCACCACAGAGACAAGAUCUAUGUUGUACAGCAAGAUCCCUGUUUGUCAUGUCCAUCACGGCCUUUGCUUUUCGAGGCCAGUUCAAGCUGCACAACACAUACUUGACAACAAGCCUGAAGAGAUUGAAACAUCAGCUACACACACACAAAGAAUGAAUCAAUGAAUCGCAUACAAAAGUUCCCUUUGGCCAGUCCAUCACACAGCAGCUUCUCUGACUGGACUGAUGUACCCUACACAAACUAGGAAAAAAAAAAAAGCUCUUUCCUCCACCACUGUCUUUCUCAGCGCGUCCUUUCAGCCUCUUUGCCCUGAUCUCAUUCAGGUCACUUCACCUAAUGGAGUAAAAUUUUGGCCCCGAGGCCUGGAGCUGUCUUCUGGUCUCAAACAUCCACAUUUCAGGACUUUCUUUGUUUCUCACUCCUCGGACCCCGUGUCUCUGCCCCGGGCUCACACACACACACAGAGAAGUCACUUAACCGCCUCUUAGGUUGCCAUUUCUGCAGCUAUUCAUGGCCGUACCAUUAAAGCAGGGCUGGCACUUUAUGUUUGUGUCACUGCAUUUGGUUUCUGCCUCUCUCUAUGGCCUCCAUUUUGAACUAUUACAUUACAACCAGUUGAAAAAUGAUACCACCGGAACGCUGCUUCAACUAGUGCCCAUACUGAGAUCAUGAAUGCCUCUUUUAUUGACAGAUCUUCUUAUAAAAAUAUCCGAAAUGACACUUUCCCUCGUCCUUUGGCUGUUCAUUACACUAAAAGGUCAGUGUCGCCUUCGCUUUUGGGAUUCUCUCAGAGGAAAGUGUGUUUUUCUACUCUACUAGCUCCAAUUUCAUACUCGUGUUCCUCUGUUUUAGAUGCUCAUUUUUUGUUUGGAUCACAGAAUCCAUGUGUAGUAUUAUGCAAAUGUUUGCCCAGUGCUUUUCCCCUGUGAUGGGUUUCCAUCCAAAAAACAUUUCAGCAUGAAGACAAUUGCGCACAGAGGUAGAGUAGGAGAAGGAAAUGGGUGUUGAAAUUGCCUUUGUUUGUGUAAAUUGUGUAGAGGCUAGUUAGAUCUGUGAAUGAUGGAAAGGAAAAUUAUGUCUUUUUCAAAAAUUUGCCACUUUAUCCAGAUUUAAAAGUAGCGACAAUUUCAGUUUGUCUUUCGCAUCUGCCAACAGCUUCUGGUGUCGUGAGGUUUAGACGAGAAGUUUCUGAGUGAAGUUGUGAGAGUAGGAGCUGUGAUUGUGAGGAGCUGAGGUUUAUAGCUGGUGUUACUUAUUUAAGACCCCGAAUCAAAAACAAGUAAUGUGGAGUGAGUGGACGGUCAGGCAAAUAGAGUCAUGAGACAGCUGACAUGAAAACAUCCCCACUGCUCUUGCUAUUGAGAAGGGUUUCGACCAAUCAGAACCAAGUAUUCAACACAGGAAGGUCAUUAUAAGAAAAGAUGGAUAAUACAUAAGACUGUGAGAUGCAGUUGUUUCAGCUAUAGAGGUAAAAUUGCUGGUUACUUUUUAAACAUUAUCAAAAAAAACAAUCCCAAACUACCAUGAUUACAGAUUCAGAUUCAGACUUUGUCGUUGUACACCAAGUUACAACGAAAUUAGUUCAGGAUGCUCUUCCCUGUGUGCAACAAAAGCAAUAAAUAUAAGAACAAUAAAUAUAAAAACAAAAAGUGUAAAGCACACUGUAUAAAAACAGCAUUAUAUGGCCUACUAGAAAAACUUUAAAUAAUGAAAUAUACGAAUCAUACAGCCCCAAACUUCCAGUGAAUAUACAAUUUAUGUCAACAGGAAGCUAUGGCGAAAUUGUGAAGUGGAUUUGCCCACAUGCCCAUGGAAAUAGCAAUAUGUGAUUAUACCAGGUAGCAGCUGACUGUGUGCUGUUGCCAACAUUUACAAACUGUACUCAGAAUUGCAAAAACUGCUUUUUUUUUUUUAGGCCAAGAGCACUCUGACUUCAAACCUGACUGAUCUAAGCCUAUAGAGGGGGCAUAGCCCACUAACCCGCAUGUGCAGCACAUAUAAACAAAAAUAGCCAUGCAGAAGCAGAGGCACUGACGUCGCCAUUUUCCCUAAAACUAUGUUUGCACUAUUCAUGGGAUUUCAGAUGAAUCAGAGUUUUAAUAAAAUCUGCUCUAGACUCAAAAACUCUAAAUUUCUAGUGACCUGAAAUGCCACCCUAAGCCAGUUUUCAUAAUAAUUCCCGUACACAUGGACAUGGCCUUUUCAAGGAGUGGGCAGAGACCCCACUUGUCCCCCUCUUCAGCAGCCACUGGAAAAUAGACGCAUGUUACUCAUGAGUUUAGUAUUGAUUCCCAGCUUCAGUAUAACCACAGUGAUGAAUAUAAGGUCACAGACACACAUUUUGACUCACAGCCUGAUCCAGCUCCUCCAGUGUGAACCGGUAACGUGAUCUCUCCUCGAGUGCGACGCCACCUACAUACACGCUCAGUCCCACACAGUCCUUUCCCAUCAGGCGGCGUGCACUCUGGAGGGCCAGUUUUCCUGGUGGGCAUGGUUUCCUUCAACUGUCCACCCACCAAAAACUCAUCAUCUUAAUUGUCCCUUCUGUUGAUGUGAAAUUCAAUAAAAGUGGCAGGGAGCGUUUUGAAUUGAUUGUGAAUAGAUGUGGCUGCCUGGCUGUCGUCUUUCCUGACAGCUGGAGGAGAGUUGAUGUACUGUAUUCCUCCAAGUGUGUAUGUGUGUGUGUGUACAUGUGUGAUGUGUAGGUGUGUGUGGCGAGCGUCGGGAGUGGGUGGGGGUUUCUUCAUUAUCUUGACUUGAAAAGUGGUUUUCAUGGAAAUGUGGCACAUCUGUGACAAAUCGUGUCUGCACUGCCCACCCUCUGCAUUUUUUUUUUCUUUUUUUACAUAACCUUGCUGGUAGUGCAUUGCAAAUCUGUCUCUUCACAUUUGUACAGUUAUGUACAAUUGCUCACAGGGCAUGAAUUCCUCAUUGGCGUUGGCAAAAUGGGGAGGUAAAAGAUGAAAAACCAUCAAGUCCCUACUUUUCACAUGGCUGCACUCGACUCAUUGCUCUCUGAUGGCGUGCCCAUGCAACUAAAGCUGUGAAAAAUGAUGUUUUUUUUCAGGCUGUUUGACCUUGGCCUGAAAUACACAACCUAACCAAUAUUUAACAUGUUGCUUUUUCCACACCUGCUGCCUCCGGGGACGCCAUCAGCAAAGCGCUCCUGCAGAGUUAGAAGGGCCAAGGAAGGUAAAGUGUCACACUGAGCUAUGCAACGGCAGGUGAUGAUGUGGAAAAACAAACUCAUCCAUCUGGAGAGUUCGGCACUGCAACACGAUUCAAAGCCGCUUGGACGUGUUCGGUAAAGAUCCGUUUUGAUACCCCGAGGACGGCGUCUCUUGUUAAUUGAUAAAGUCUUAACACGUGUCUGUGAGGUUGUCAUCCAGAAAAAGCAUGAAAUACAUUCAACUUCGCUUUUUUUAUCUUUCUAAAUCAGUAUCGAUCAGCAGAGCUUGUUCCUCUCCAGACGGCAAUCAAGACAUUACAAUGCCUGGCACCCAUUUCCACCCCCGUCCUGCAUUGAUUUUAGGAAAAGCAGGCCUCCUCUGAACUCAGCCGGUACUUUAAAAACUUCAUCGCUGUCUAGCUCGUUAUCAAACGCCUCAGGGGCCCUCUCUGCCCUUCAAAAUAAAAGGUUGCCAAUAUUUGCCUCAUUAUUAUUUUAUCUAUCCUUCAAAAACCCCUCUAGUCUUUUACUCUCUUAAUCCCUGUUCAAAUGGCGAUGUCAAAGGAUUUUGAUUUUUGUCUUAAACUUGUUCAAUUUGAAGCCAUUGUUGUUUUGAAAUGGUCAAAUAGUCACACAGGGCCAUUUAUUCCUGCAUGUUAUCAUGUUGUAUCACACUAGUAGCACUCUGCAUCACUUUACAUUAAAGCUCCAAUGGGGAACGUUUAUUUUAUGUCCAGUUUGGCACCCUUACAAACCAAAGUCGUGUUUUUUCUCUCUAUUGUCCUCAAGUUCAUUAGUAAGUUGUGUCUUAAUUUUCUUUCUUGUAAUGGUACAAAGUGUCACUCACUGUUACAGCCUUAUAAAUAUCUACAUCGUAAUUAUUAUUGAUUGUCCCUCUGAUGGUUUAGUGAGCUAAGUCAUGUGGAGGCAUUGGUAUCAAUUGGAGCCUGUUUAAAAACCAGCUGAAAACUUCUUACAGGAGCUUUAAAGCCCUGCGAUGCGUGAGAUUUAAAGGUGCAGUGUGUAGUUUUAGCAGCAGUCAACAGAGUAGAUUUGGUAAAAGUUGGAUAUGAUUAAUUUUGGUCUGUGUUUUAAAGGGAUAUUCUGGCGUAGAAUUAAGUUAGGGUCAAAGAAACCAUAACACUGAGUUAGACACCCCCUUGAGAGAUGAAUGUUGCCAACCGCUUGCUUCUCUAGUUAUACCAACUUUACAAACGACCGCAGAUAGCAAUACAGAGAGCCACGCACCCAACUAAAACGCCACUCUAUAGCAACAAAUAAUGUUCAGAACAGCACCUAACUUCACCAACAGGACACAUAGGGUCCCAGCCACAGUACUAGCCAACAAACAUCUUUUUAAGUUUGCCUAAUUUCUUUAGUAAAGAGACUAAACACAACUCACCCACUCUCUUCCAGCAAUCGCUUGUCUGUAUGGAGACCUAAGGCCAGUCCAUUACAGCUAUCUGCGGUCAUUUGUGAAGUUGGUAUAACUAGAGAAGCAAGCAGUCAGCAACAUUCAUCUCUCUACAGGGUGUCUAACUCAGUGUUACGGUGUGUUUGACCCUAAAUUAAUUUUACGCCUGAAUAUCCAUUUAACCAGAUUUUUUAAAAAUUACAUACUAAUGCUUUAAAACCAAAGUUUACAGUGUAGCUGCUGAUGGAAAGGGGAAAAAAAUUAACAUAGCAGCUGACUCACCCUCAGCUUUUAAACUGAUGUUGCUUUCAGUCUAACCCUCUCUCUCUCUCUCUCUCUCUCUCUCUCUCUCUCUCUCUCUCUCUCUCUCUCUCUCUCUCUCUCUCUUUGUCUCUCUCUCGCCCUUCAUUAAUUACAGGCUCAGCAUCAGCCGAGGAUCUCACAACACGGGGUUAAUGUGGGAGAGGAUAUGUCGCCCGGGGAAGCUGGUGCCUGAUGCCAGUAGGUUCUCCACACCCCUCACAUCCCACUGUGACACCCACAUUCACACUCCUGCCACCCGUGAGCAGCUAAGUGCACCUCUAAAUCAGCUUACAGAAGUUCGCUAAACACCGGGCAUAUUUCCAUGAAAUAUUAAUUAACCUGAAAAAUAACUAACACUGUCGGGGCUCUUUGUGUUUCACUUCUAGAUUCCCACUGACAGAAUCGAAGAUUUUGUUCGGAUUAAUUUGUCCAUUCACAUUCAAAUAAAUGCUUUCCUUUGUUGAGAGAGCGGCACAGGUUUUUGGCUUUUAGACUUUCUUUGUUCAUAUUUUAUUAAAUGAUUUUAAUGUUUGUAUGAGCCUAGGAACAAAAAAACAGAAGGGAAAAUUUAAAAGAAUACAUGUGGGAAGCAUAUACUGUAAUUACCUGUAUAACCAUAGUGUAGGCUAUAUCAUGUAAAUGUCCAAAGUAGUACAAAAUAGUAUUAUGUAUCACCACCAGUGAGUCUACUGCGGCCGAAAGUCACUUUUGUAUCCUGACAUUUAGAGAAAAAUCAUCCAUUAUUUUCAAAAGUUUCUCUUAGUUUGUUUAUUCAUAAUAAAUACAUCGUUUGCACCAAUUAUAGACCCACUUUUAUUGGUUAAAAAAAACGUUUUUUAACAGAUUCAAAUCUUUAUUUUUAUAAUGUAGUGAGUUACAAAAGAAAUGUAGCAAGCUAGGUUACAGCAACACGGCAACAGCACUUCAGCUGCUUUAAAGCUUCCAAACUGAGCUCAUCAAUAUUAUGAUUACUUAUUUUAAUUAGAAGUAUAAUUAUAUGUUUCCCAGUUUUGAUUGAGUCCCUUGAAGAACAUGCUGUUGUUAGCAUGAGCUCGUCCUGUAUUAGAGUUUUGGUGAAGGGAUUGUCCCUUUUGUUUACACCUGUCUUUGAAGGAUCAGUGAUUCAUUUCAGAAACCAAACAAAACCUAAUUUUCCAAUGAGUGCAUACCAAGCCAAGUAGAUAUCUUCAGCUUUAUUUGCACAGGAGAUAGCUGUUAGAUUGCAGAUGCUGCCGAAAUGAAAUGAAGGGGAGUGAGAUAGAAGGGGAUUUUCAUUUUUGGUGACCCCUUAAUUUCACAGUAUUUCCAGGAAUGACUUUCAUCCAAGCUGCGACUUUCAAUGCAUGAGUAUAAAAACUGCAGUUCCUUAAAGGGAUAUUACAAUAGCAAGACCUCGGGCCAGUCCAUUACGGACUACAGCGGGGUGACGCAGCUCAAGGAAGAACAUUUAUGAUCAUUUCUUUAUCAUGUCCUUUAAGUAAUAAUCACCAUAUUAAUCAUUUUGCACUGCAGACGUGGUAGUUCUUCUGCCUUAGUGUCUCGGUCUGAUUGCAUUUCUGUGAAGAAAUGAUCAUAAAUGUUCUUCCUUGAGCUGCGUCACCCCGCUGUAGUCUGUAAUGGACUGGCCCGGAAGUCGCGAUACAAACGAGCAGGUGCUGGAAGAGAGUCGGCGAGUUGUGUUUAGUCUCUUUGCUAAAGAAAUCAGGCAAAGUUAAAUAGAUGUUUGAUGGCUAGUACUAUGGCUAGGACCCUAUAUGUCCUGUUGAUGAAGUUAGGUGCUGUUCUGAGCAUUAUUUGUGGCUAUAGAGUGGCGUAUUUGUUGAGGUUUGGUUAUGGCUCCUCAGACCGCUGUGUAUUGCUAUCCUGUGGUUGUUACUAAAGUUGGUAUAACUAGAGAAGCAAGGGGUUGGCAACAUUCAUCUCUCAAGGGGGUGUCUAACUUGGUGUUACUGUGUGUUUGGCCCUAAAUUAAUUUUACGCCGGAAUAUCCCUUUAAGUGUCCACAUGAAGCCAUUCACACCAAUGCAUCUGCGAUGAUUCAUAACCUGGCUUCUUCAAUAAUCAUCUACAUAUUUGAAAAGUUAAUUGUGAUUGGUCCAGACCCUUAAACAAUGUUUAUUAACUGAAAGUAGGCGGCUGUAAACCGUGUACAUGCUAGCAAAGCAUGAUUAAGUGCAUAAGACACUGAAGAGACCUCUACCAAAUCGAAGAAAACAUUGAAACAGGACUGAAUUAUGCAUAUGCCAAUAAGAAAAUGCAAAUAUUAAGACUUUACCUGAAAUGAUAGCAUUAAACUGUGGACUAAAUGUUGAGUUUGAACCUGCAAAAAGGCUGAUUAGAGUUUAAAAGCCAUGGAGGUGCCACCAACUUCAAAUGUAUUACCCUACCAGCGUAGAGAUGACGUUCAACCUCGUUUUUUUUUGGUGUUUUUGAGCUGUUUUGAUAUCGCCCCUCCUCUGCAGCAUGUCUGUGCAGUUGCUUAUGCCUGGAUUAGAGGCAGAAUACAUAAAUAAAGGGAUUAGUGAGAUCAGUGUCAAUCUCCGACAGAAUGAUUUAUACUGCCUCAGGUGUUCUCAUUCUUGUGCGACAAAGACAAGUCAUGAUUAAUUAGUCACAAAACACGCCGUGAUAGCAGAGACUCUGAGGGUGUAGAAAAGAUAGAUUAAAUUCAGAAUAUCUCUCCGCUGUGACGUAUGAAUUUUGUCACUUUGCUUGUAAUUGCACCCGUGCACUGUAAAUCUCCUGUUCUGUUGAGUUGGAUGCAAAGCUCGCCGGGGAAAUACAUCCUGUUAUUGCUUUGGAUAAAUAAAUAAAUUCAAUUACAACCCGUAUGCACUGAAUAACUUUGCGCCGGUGCAGCCCAGCUUUGCCCAUUUCAGAGUGAUUAAUGCUGCAGAGGGGAGCGCUAACUGAGACACAGGAGAGUCUUAUUGACAUUAAAGAAGAUAUCAUCCUACAGGCUGAGACUGUACCUGUCAAUGAAAGAGGCCGCCCUGCCUCAAGAAGUGAACAAGAAGUUUCUAAUUUCAGAGCGGUUUAUUGAGGCGUCACAUUGCGCCUGCUGUGGGCUCACGCUCCGCUGGCCUUUCAGACCUUAACUUUCUGUCUCAAUCAGGGGAAAUGAUUGCCUGGCUGCCUGCUACCUGCCUUUUCGUCAUCCUGUAAUUACACUUACUUCCAUUUAGAAUCACAUGCCUCGCAGGUCUGACUGGGAGUCGACGGCUCCCACUCACAGGGGGGGAGGUUCAGCCAGCAGGGACGAGACGAGCCGGAUCAGGGAUGUUGCACCUUCAUUAUG